This 74654-nucleotide long non-coding RNA is filed under the name Vitis vinifera (wine grape). Its description in RNAcentral is "long non-coding RNA (VVIN_LNC000019)". The stretch from base 16908 to 16980 matches the Rfam family "tRNA". The record is from RNAcentral. Lineage: Eukaryota; Viridiplantae; Streptophyta; Magnoliopsida; Vitales; Vitaceae.
GGGUUGGACCUUAGGGAACAGAUGCUCUUUAUGUAAAAAUGAGGAAGAAUCAGCAGAUCAUCUUUUGCUUCAUUGCACUAAGACAGGAAUCUUGUGAUAGCUAAUCUUCUCUUUGUUUGGGAUAGAAUGGUUGAUGCUAGAUUCAAUUAAAGGGGCCCUCUUACCUUGGCAGUGGAAUAUUGUGGGGAAGAGAAGAAAAAAGCUUGGAAGGUUGUCCCUUUAUGUAUUUUUUUGGACCAUUUGGAGGGAGAGAACAGGAGGUACUUUGAGGACAUGGAAAAAUCGGAUCAAGCAUUAUAAUCCUCCUUCUUUUGCUUACUUUUGGAUUGGGUGAGGGUGGGCUUAAAUGAUGCGACUAUGUCUAUGGUAGGCCUAGUCGAUUGGCUCGGUGUUAUGUAAGGGAUGGGGCUAUUGAUCUUGCCCAUCUCUUCUAUUCUUUUUGUUCUUGACUUGGUGCCCUUGUAUACAUCCCGUCUACUUUGGUGCGUUUUUUGAUAGGCGCUGUUAAUAUAUUUUUUUGCUUGCUUAUAAAAAACCAGAACUCUUGGCCACUAGGCCCGCUACUAAUUUAUUGUUGUUGGAAAAAUACAACAUGGUAUGGGUUUUAUAGUUUUGGGCCCUUCUAGUAGCAACAAAUUCAGGAAUUAACAACUGAAGAUGGUUUACAAAGAUCUAUUUAUGGAUUGCAUGAAUGCCUGGAUAAAAAGGCCAUUCCAUUCUUUUAGGUGCUCAAAAACGAACAUUUCAUAAGUUAGAAUUGAGUUCUGGCGGCACAUGUUACUACUGCUACCAUUGGUCGUUGUUGCCAGUAUGAGUUAAAUGGUGUAAACAAGCACUGAAAAAACAUUAUUAAACGUGUGUUGUAUUAAAGAAAAGGUGUACACGAUGUAUACAUAUAUGCAUGGGAUAUGAUAUUAGUGCUGUUUGUUUAAUCCUUUUCUUAUGUUAAUUCAUUAGUGCGGUAUCAGAUCGUCUUUUUUUCUAUGCUCAUUACUAACUUUCAGUUCUCUCCCUUUUAUUCUUUUCUUCUUAAACCCAAUGGACAUUGAUGUUUUUCUUUGUUAUAGUUGGAUUGAUAGUUUCAGAAAUUUUGUGCUAGGCUGAGAUUGGUUCCAUAAGUUCAGACAUAAAAAUUCUCCAGGAGAAGUCUAUGGAUAUGGGUCUGAAGCUGAAGAACCGUAAGGUAUCAUCUUUGUCUGUUGUAUUGUGGUGUAUUUCCUAGUUUGUUGCAUUAAAUUUUUGGUUUAGUUUUUAGUUUGUGUACCUUUUGACAUUUGCUUCUUGCCUGUUAAACAAUAUUGUCUCAUGCAAUGUUUUUAGAACUAGACCGGUAAUUGACCCAAAAAAGUUAUUGGGUUAAGGUUAACUAGCAUGGUCAAACUAUGAUGUUUUAUAUUGCUAAAAUUUAAAAAAUAUAUAAAUAAUUAAAAGACUUAAAAGAUGAUUCAUCUUUUUUGCCUUUAACAUUACUAGAUUAAAUCAUGAGAAGAAUAAAAUGUAAAUGUAUUAAUAUUUGUAAUUUAGUUAAAUAUAUAUAUAUAUAUAUUAUGGAUUUAUCCAUAUUUUAAAAAUUAUAUAUUUUAUCAUUCUAUUGUGUUCAAAAUUGAUAAAUUCAUUUACCUAUGGUAUUAUUAUGCUUAUCAACUUAUGAAUGAAUUGAGGUUAAUAUUCAUAUUUAUUUUGAAGUUUUUAAACAUGCUAUUUUACUAAUGUAACUCAGCAUAUUUUUAAAGGGGUUAACUUGGCCUAGUGGCAGCUAGCACUUAGUUUUUACAAAGGGGCUGGGUUCAAACCCAGGCACCCUCCACACUCUGCAAUCCACUUUUGGAAAGAAAAAAAAACCCCCUGCCUAACAGGUAAAAGAACCAGUCCGUCAGUGGUUUAACCAGUAGAAUUGGCUGGUCCAGUCCGAUUUUAAAACAUUAGCCUUAUGAUGUAAUAUGGGUUUAUUAGAUGCUAUAUGUUUGGUUAUUGGAAAAUUUGAGGGAAAUGUGAGGCAAAGAAAAUGAAGAGGAAAAAUAAAAGGAAAGAAAAAUAAAGGAAAAUAAAAAAUAUGUUUGAAAUUAAUAAAUUAUUUUGAUAUGCUCUUUCAAACUCAUUUCACUCAUCUUUCCACUUCUAUAUAAAGAUUAAAUAAUUUGAAAAUACAUAAAACUUUAACUAAUUUUAAUUAUAUUUGAUUUUAUUUUGUAUUUUCUGUGGUAAACCAAAGAAGAGAAAUUUUUUUCCCUUUUCCUUAGUACUUUCCAGGAAUCAAACAUAACCAUUGUGGUUUCGUCAAAAUAAUGUAUGAUGGAAUAUGAGACUUACUUUCUUACUUACCAAAAAGAAAAAAAGUAAAAGAAAAAUACGGGACUACUUUCUUCUCCUCUUUAAUUUGCUAUGCUAGCAUGGUGUCAGACUCUCAUCCGACUUUGUUAUAUUUGGCUCUUUUUUUUAGACAUUUUUUUCCUUCUCCCAUUCUUCCUGUUUUUGGUUGAUCCCGCCAAAGGACGUUUUCCAAGAAUCAUUAAAGCUUUUGGUGAUGUCAGCAAUCCAUAAUGUGUUAAUGCCAGCAUACGUAUGAACUGGGAGAGUUGAUAGAAUGUAAAUGUAAAAGUAAAUUUGUUUUGCUUUUACUUGUCCUUUAAUAUGUCCCCUAAAUUCUUCAGCCUCUUUUAAAUAAUAUUUAUAAUUCAUCAUGAGAGAAAUAAAAAUCUCACAUCUAUUAAUUCCAGGUUAUCCUUUCCUCUAAAUUCUUAUUUCUCCCAUUUUUUCCAGUUUUCUUUUAUGCCUGACACUAUGGUUGUUGUUUGUGCUCUUUAACAGGUAGCAGAGUCAAAACUGGCAAAAUUUGUUGAAGAUAUUAUAGUUCCUCCAAGGAUGGUAGACAUAAUUGUUGAUGGAGAGGUAAUUGCAAUUUUUGUGCAUUUAUCUACAUUUUUGAUAUUAUAGUUCCUCCAAGGAUGGUAGACGUAAUUGUUGAUGGAGGGGUAAUUGCAAUUUUUGUGCAUUUAUCUACAUUUUUUAUUUCAUUGAAAUAGUUUUUUCUUAUCAUGCUAAUUUCAAACUUGCUCUUAUCUGGUAAUUUUCAGAAGUAUUUUUGGGGUAACCUGUCCUUGGCAUUUCCUGUAUUUUAGAACAAAAAUACAGGUUUAUUAACCACUCAAUUAUGUUAUUGCUGGGUAGGUUUGUUAAAUAAUUGUUUUUUAAUUCUUUUAUUGAUGCUGUUGUUUCAAGCCUUAGGAUGUGGAUUUUGGUCUUGUUUGAUACGGAUUUAGCUUCUAAUAAGGUCAUUUUUGAAAGAUCCCUACAUAGACUGAUAGAAGAGCUUGCUGGAAGGAGAAUUGUUAGUCUUUGGUUACCAUAUUUUUAGAAAGACUUUUAAUAUGGAUAAUUUUGUCAUCAUACCUAUGAGGUUAUAAAUGUCCAUGUGUUUUUUUUUUUCUAGAAUAAAUACUAACUUCCAGCAUCUCUUUCAAAGCUAUUGUAUUGUAACUUUGACUAAAGGAGCUUUAAGUCGUAAUGUCUUUAACUCAAAGGAUUUCUUAGAUACAACUAAACAUAGGAGAAAAUAAGGUUUUAUUGUCAAAAUGCUCUUUUAAGCCAUAUAAAUAGUUCACCAACUGGGGCCUAGGAAGUAGUAACAGAUAGUACGAUUAGUGAUUCUUUUUAUGGUUGGAGACAUUAUUAGUCAUUUCUUGAGUGGUUUCAUGAAAAGACUUAAAACGCAAGGACUUUGGUUUGGGACAUUUGCUUUAGUAGCAAUUUAAUGGUUGUUUUCUAUGCACAAUAUAAUCAAUAGUUCUUAUCAAAAAAGAUAAAAAAAAAAUAAAAAAAUCAGUAGUUGGGGUUCUUCUUGACUACAAAAUUUGUUCUUUUGUGUUUCCUGUGUACUAGAUUGAGAGAUUUUAGUAUUCUUUUACAUAAAUUAGACUUGGAAAACUCAUUCCACAGGGCUGAGUUGGUUUACAGGUAUUUGUUUUUUCCUUUCAACAACUCUGUUCAUUCAGUAUUAUGAACAUGUGUACUUUGGUAAUAAUCACUCAUUCACCUAUAAGACCAGAUACUCUCUGGUAUAUAAACUCCUUUCUCUGCCAUCUUAACCUGGUUAAUUUUGUAGCUGUUGGUGCUUUGUCAUAUAUGAUUUACUUUUAGGUAUAGCAUAGUGUUGAUCUGUUAUGUGCAUGAUAGAAUUCAGCCACGUUUCCUUGGUUUGCUUAUUGUACAGUACAAGUUGCCUUUUGAUUCAUCUUCUGAAUAUGGAAUUUAUUCUGUUUCUGAAUACAAUUCAAGUAUUUUGUCUGAAAAGAAGUUAUCUUGUUUUUGUUCUCACUUAGCUGCUAAUCUACUUGGAUUGGUAUUCUUGUUCAGGUGAAUGAGGAAUAUAUGAGAACUCUUGAGAUCCUAAGUAAGAAGUUGAAGUUUGUUGAAGUGGAACCUAUGGUUAAAACUUCAAAAGCUCUAAAAGAUGUUCAACCCGAGCUAGAAAAACUUCGUCAAAAAGCAGUCUCAAAGGUUGUUAGCUGGCAUAUGAAGAUGCAAUUUUCUGUUAUUAACCAGUUAGUUACAUGUAUGGCAGCAUGUUUCACUACAUAGGUGUCAUCAUGUUUGAUCCCACUCUAAUGUCUUGGAUAUCAUAUGUUUUUAUGCAUGGAUGUCAUACAUAUAAUGCCUGCAUUUUAGAUGGUGUUUUUUGCUUCAGUCUGGUAGUGUGGAUUAUUAAUUGGCUCCAUUAAGAAAGAUCUGCAGCUAUGACUCUGGAUCUGUUGCAAUCAUAUGUAUUGUAAAGAACCAAAAAUACACAUUUAAACAUGAGGCAGUUGGUACAUGCUAUAUUUGUCACUUUAACCUAUUUAACAUUACAACAUCUACAUCCACUCUAUUCAGCUUUCAAUUAUGUGGAAAACUAAUUAAUUAUUCUUUGUUAAUCUUCUAAAAAUUCUAGGCUUAUUUUUCCUUCCAAUGAGAUCUUACAAAAUCAGAACUCUCACUCGUCUGCCAACAAGUGCAGUGUUCUUAAUUUGCUUUCCUAUUUCCCUUUGUGGGGCAGGGAUAUGAUAGAAGUUUCAUCUGUAAAUCAUAGAGCUAUCAAGGUUGUUCAAAAGACUUGGUUCAUUUAUUACUGGAAUCUUACCAGUUUAGGUAAAUUUGCUAAUAGAAAGGCUUACUUGAAAAUCAAAAUCUGAACUGUCAUGAAAUUUUUUUUCCUCGAAGAGGCAAACAGAAAAAAGCAGGGGGCACCAAAAAUGAUUCAAAUGAUUUAUAUUAAUCACAUAAUGAUAGUUUGUUGGAAAUUCAUGAAACCCUAUUACUGCAUAUGUUGUCCAUCAAUAAUUACAUGUAAAUCUUUCUAUCCAUCCUUCUGCAGGUGUUUGAGUUCAUUGUUCAGAAGCUUUAUGCAUUGAGGAAACCUAAAACAAAUAUCCAGAUCCUUCAACAGAGUGUUCUUCUAAAAUACAAGUUAGUUGUUUAAUUUGACUUUUUUAAUGGUGCUUUGCUCAAAUUCAUUUAUUUAUUGUUUGGUGCAAAAUCAACCAUGUUUGAUCUUUUGUGAUAUCCAACUCAUUUUUUGCCCUAGAGUUUCAGUUGUUUAUAAUAUGUGAAUCACAAUUAGUAUUGUAUUUUUGGCCUGUUGUUUGAACUGUUGUUUAUCAUAAUAUGUGACAUCCAAAUAUUUGAACUGUUGUUUCUUGUGCCCUAUUAAGAAACCAACUUGCAGCCAUGUCUAAUUUAUGUUGCAUUGAGAACCUGUUACUGAUAUUUUCAAUAAUUUUCAUUUACCGUAUCUAUUUGCAGUAGAUGAUGAUAUUAGGAACCUUUUUAUAUGUUUUUAAUAUUCUCCAGAAGCCAUUCCUAUUCACGAUAUAUGACUUAUAUUGGGAUUUGUUGAUAUUUUUGUCUAUAUUUUUAAUGUUAUCAUAUGCCCUACUGAUUUUCAAUAGAUGAAAUACAUCAGAAAUUUGUAUAUUAUUCUUCAUAUUUUUAAUAUUCUCUAUAUAUCAUGCCUGUUAUCAAUUGAUGAAUGCUUUGGGAAUUUGUUUAUAUUUCUAUUCACUAUGGCAGGAUUCUACUGUUUUCCUUGUCAUCUAUACAAACAGUAAUGCAGUUAUGUCAUGUAAAAAUAUUGAGUUUACCAAUAGGAGAAACUAGGCGUGUAUUCUUGUCAGUUUCAAUUUUCGAGUGUGUUGUAGUCCAUUCUUCUGGUUCUUGAGUUCAUGGUGCUGAUUAACUGUUGCUUUACUUGUUUAAUUUUUGUCAUUAAGUUGUUGAUAGAAGGUGCUUAAUCUUUACAUUGAUUUUCUAUAAUCCGACUUCUGAGUAAAGUAUCAAUGCAUGGAACCAACUAAAACAUUAAGAAUUUAUGUUUGUAAAGAGUGCCACUAAUCCAAAUUGGAUAAUUAGUAUCCAUUAUCAAGUUUACCUAUGUUUAUGGCUUAUCCAUCAAUUUAUUAGUUACUGCAGUUGUUUGUGUUAAUCACAAUAUUUUUUCUUUUGGAAAGAGAUUGUGUCAGUUAAAAUUUUAAUGUAAUUUAAUAUGAAUUAACAUGAUGUGCAGGUAUGUUGUUUCCUUUCUCAAGGAACAUGGCAAAGAGGUAUAUAUUGAAGUCCGUGCGGCAUACAUUGAUACAAUGAACAAGGUAAAUGCUAUAGAAUCAACUGUAAAUCUCAGAAUUAAGUUUUGCUUGCACUACACCAUUCAAAUACAUUUAUAUGGAUAUUUUAAAUAUUGUUCUCUGGUUUUUUUCCCUUUAAUGGAUGGUGCAGUGAUUUGUGGUUUUUUUUCUCUUAUUUGAUUUCUUUUGGCAUUCAACAUGUUGUACAUGUAACCGACUAUCUCUCUUUUGUGCAUAUGAGUGCCCCUAUGGUUUUCGAUCACUGUAUACAUGUUUUACACAUGUAUGUUAGAAUUCCAUCUUUAACAGCUAAUCCUGUUUUGAAGUUCCAAGGGGAUCAGGUUAAAGUUAUCUCAGAGAUGCAUGCUAAGCAAGUUUAUUUUGCAGGUUUUAAGUGCACAUUUCCGUGCUUAUAUUCAAGCUUUAGAAAAAUUGCAAUUGGAUAUAGCGACAUCCAGCGAUUUGAUUGGUGUUGACACCAGAAGCACCAGUCUUUUCUCAAGAGGAAGAGAACCUUUGAAGAACCGAUCUGCUGUUUAUGCUUUGGGGGAGAGGAUAAGCAUUUUAAAGGUAUUUUGCUGCUAACAUUGAGACACACACAAACACAAACAUACACAAACACGCAUGUACAUAUGGGUGUCAUAUGCAGUGAGAUAGAGUUUAUUUGCAAUGUCCAAUAUUAAAAACUCCCUAAAACCCAUUGUCUCAUUCUUUACAAGGUUGCAAUACGAUUCCCAAAAUGCCAUGGUGAAACCAGUUGGCCUUGGAGCUUUAUUCCCACACAAAGGGGACAAGAUGGUGGAAACCUCCUCCUCAUAAAAGGGCACCUCCAAGCUCCUUCAAUCAUCACUUCCUAGAGCUUCAAAGCUCAUCUCACUAAUUCUCGAUCUCCAAUCCCCCACUUUGAACAGGAGGGUUUGAAAGACCUUAGACACCCCCUCCUUUAUAUCUGCAUCCUCAGACAACCAUUCUCCAUUUGCUCUGACUUUGGCUAAGAAAUCUCUUCUUUUAUGUGCGUGGGCCAUUUUAUGAAAGAAAAUUGGUGUUUUUAUCCCAUCUCUUGUUCAGCAAGCAUCCCCCUUUUGGCUUUCUCCAAGAAACCAUACUAUUGUCCUGCCCCAAGUCUGGAUGCCCUUCAGUUGAGACAGAAUAGGAAGAAGAAGAGAUCCUGCCCCUCAACAAGGAAACAAAGGACUGAGGUCUACCUAUAAAUCUUGCAGCUUUGGCUAACCGCAUACACCUCCCCUUUGAUCUCUGGGUUGUCCCCAACACACAUGGGUCAAAGAAUAAGGACCUGUUGCGACCCCUCACAUUGCAGGUAGGAGAAAUCUGGAACCCCCUCUGGGUUCCAUUUCCUUUCAUUAUAAGAUUAAGUUUGGGUUUCCCCUGUUUGCCUUUGGCCUGAUCCACUUUGAAUAGGCGCUUGAUUGGGCUGCAAGAUACAUCACUAGACCCAGCUGGGCCAGAUCCACUAGGGUAGUCUCCACCUUCAAAUCUUGCCUGGCCCUUAUCACCUAAGUCCAAUGAGCUGCAUUGCAAUGGGCUAGAGGCGGUCCAAUUCCUUUUAGGAAUAAAGCUUAUUUGGGCCCACCAGCUCAACAACACCCAUACAAUGUCCCUUGGAAGCCUCGAGGGGAGCCCAACAUCCUAUCAGGUCCUACAAACUCCUGAUUGCCAUAGACUGAAACAGCUGGUCCCACCACUCCAUUUGCAGGCUUCUUUCUAAUGCUUUUCUUCUCUGUUCUCUUAGAAACCUUUAUUCAGAAAAAUUACAUAUAUAUAUUAAUUCAGUUCUCUGUAGUUAUAAAUGAAAAGGACAAAACUAAAAUAAAAUGUUUUCAUUUUCUUAGGUUCAUGGCAUUUUCUUAGUUUGUCCUUUUCAUUUAUAUUUUCUAUGGUUUCCAGUAAUUUAGACAAUAUGCAUAUGGUGCUUAACAUGGUUUGUGCAAGAGGGGUUUUUCUAUUGUUUCCAUGUGUGCAUGAUUCUCAAUAUAAUAAUGGGCCAUCUAGAUAGAAUAGUCUUCUAAAUGGAAAUGUUUAAGCAUCAACAUUAAAAAAACUCAUUGUAGACUCUGAUUAAAAAACUCAUUAUAAAUGCUUGUUUCAUGGCAAUAAAAUGUCUGCUUUUGAUCACAAAAAUAAAUUAAAAAAAAAAGAAAAAGAAGAGAGAUUCAUUAUUCUCUAAAAGCCUGGCUUACCAGAAGAAAACAAAGAAAGAGAGAUGGAGAGAGAGAGAGAGACUCAUUAUUAAUGCUAGUGUAAUUUUAUUUGUGAUUGAUGCUAUGAUUAUAAAUUGUGGUCCAGAAGACUCAAACAGCUAUGUUUUGUCAGACCUCCAUAGGAAAUGGAGGAAGGAUCACCUGUUCACUCUUGACUAACUUUCCUGUUUACUAUCUUUCAAUGAUCAAAAUGAUGGUUUACUCAUGAAAUUAAGAGAUAGAUUUUGUGGAGUUGACAGUAGCGUGUUACUCUAAAAGUGAGGAAGUCUGGUUUUAGGUGAAUUGAUUUCAAGGAAUAAAAUUUUCCCUCUCAGUUAGGAGCUGAACAAGUGGGGCAUUUUACUAGAGAAUGUAUGAGCUAAGGCCAUAUAUUGUUCUAUUAAGGAAAUUGUGUCUUGUUUUGACUGGUGUUGACACAAAAGUUCGGUCAAAAUUUUCCCAAAACCUUGAUGAGUUAUGAAUGACAUUCAUAGAUACAAGGGGGAAAAGGUUGAACCCUAUUAACAAUAAAUUUGUGAGGGUUGGAGAGAAUGGAUGAUGUUUGGUGACAUGCAGGACAAUCUCUAUAGUGUCUGUAUGAAAUCCGUAAAAGAAGAAAGAUUCCUCUUAUGAUUAAAUUUGGGGUAACUGCGUUUUGUUUUUUCCUCUAUUUUCCUUUUUUUCAGUUGUAUUGCUUUCUUAUUUUCUUUGUAUCUAACUGGAACAUGUACUUUGAUUCUUCAUUGGGUUCAGGAGAUUGAUCAACCUGCAUUGAUUCCACAUAUUGCUGAAGCCAGCUCCACAAAGUAUCCUUAUGAGGUCCUCUUCAGGAGUUUGCACAAGCUGCUUAUGGAUACUGCUAGUUCCGAGUACCAUAGAGUUUGCUCUGUCCCUUGGUUCUUCUAUUUAAAUGCUUGUGAAUGCUUAGUCAAUAUAUCUUUAUUGCUUUUCUUUUAUCCUACAGGUACCUUUUCUGUGAUGAUUUUUUUGGGGAAGAAAAUAUAUUUUAUGAAAUUUUUGCAGGUAACAGUGAUUUAUUUUUGUAAAAUAUUUUGAACCUCGACAUUCAUGUACUGAUUGAAAUUUUAGAAGUAGAAGUGCUUCAUUGCGUUGGUCCCUAUCCAAUUUUAUUUGACAUUAUGUGACACAGCUUUUGUAAGAUACAUAGAUUUUGAUAUAAGAAUAUCCUUACAGGUAAUGAAUAAGGUAGCCUUCAAUUAAAUAUCAGUGGUAAGGGCUUUGAGUUUUAGAGAGGAGGGUGGAAUUAAAGCCUGAGGGGUGUGGUGGUGAAAAAGAAAAAAAAAAUCACCAUUAGGGAUGGAGUAAGGGAUAAAAUGGCAACGAUUUUGGGUGGUUUAUGGGCUGAAAUUAGGGGGAAAACCUUGCUGUAAUGUCCAGGCAGCAACUAAAGAACUGGGCUUUAGUGGGGUAAGAUUAGCAAUUGGGUUAUCUUUCUAGGUAGGGUUUAGGGAUAAUCUUCCACACCCCCACCCCCCCUUCUUUUCAUAGGCAAAUAAAGCUGUAUUGAAUCUAUUGAUAAGCACUUAACAGGAAAGGAGCAUACCCUAGGUAUAUUCAGUGUAAAAAAAAACAAUAAAACAACAACUGACUAACCAUAUGAUGGAUACAAAGCACAACCAGCAAUACAAAAGCCUACUAUCCCAAGUUUAGACAAUCAGUGAAAUCCAAUGAACCAGGACACCAUCUCCAAUGGUACUCUAGAUCACUUGAAAAGGGUUUGAUCAAGUCCUCCUUUAGAUCUUGUUCAGGAAGCUCCUCGUUGUUAAAACCAUGACGAUUUCACCCUUAUCAAAAGCACCAGAACAAGCAAACUGAAGUCAUUCACUACACCUUCCUCCUCUUGUCCAUACUCUGAACUUUCCAAUCCAAAAGAAGCUAUCUAAUUGACUCUGGGAAAGUCCACUGCAACCUGAAGAUUUGUGAAGUAAAAGUUGGGGAUUAAUAGUGCUGGUUGUAGGUAAAAAGCUUGCAGACCAGUGUGUCAUUUGGUAUAUCUGGAAUGGAAUAGGAGGGAUUUUGGAGUUUUUGGCCUUGAGGCCAAAAGAUGCUUUCCUUAAGUUUUGGUUGAUCGUCUGUCUAGGGCAAGAUGUCUCUUAUUGAUUUUGUUGAUAAGGUGGGAUUGGCCUGGGACUAUGGCUUGGCUGAGUUUUUUUAUUUGUUUUUCUUUCCUCUUGUCUUUGUAUGGAAAUCCCUUGUAUACUUCCUGUUUGCAGGAUUCAUCCCCUUAUAGGUGCUUUAAUUUAUUACCUCUUCGGCCCAUCAAAAGGGACAAAAGGGGGCAAAAAGAAAAAGAGUCUGAAAAGAAGUGUAGAGCACUAACAGGAGAAAGAGAAGAUGCCUUAAAUUUCACAAAAAACCUUUCAUGAGUUUCACCUUUUAGGGACCAUCAACUGGAGCCUAUAGAACUCUAUACAUUAAUUGGUUAAAUUGUAUCUACGACUCUUGCUUAUAUAGAAGCGGAGUUUCCUCUGGCUUAGAAAACUUCCAAACAAAGAAAUUUUUACCAAACAAAGGCUUUCUAAACUCUAAAUAAGGCUCAAACUUGGAAAGCCCUCACCAAGUGAGAAAUCUCAUUAACUUAAAUCACAAGGGGAAAACACUACUUAUAGAAACUACUUGCUAAAGUUUUCUCUUCAAAUAUAAAAACUACUUCUGUCAUCUCUCUUGAAGGACCUCAAUUCUUGUACUUUCUUUCUUUGAUUAAUGACAUUUUUUAUUGUUUGUGGAAAAAAAGUGUAGAAAACUAAGGACUUCCUAAUUAUCAAAUAAAAUACUUUGGUAAAAAAAGGAUGUUAUCAGAUAAGAUCCGGACUAGAACAAAGAAAGAAGAGAACUAAUAAGAUCCAUGAUGAAAUGCCUACUUUGGUGGAAAAAAAAUAAAAUUAAGGACUUGUUUGGUAACUGUUUUCGAAAACAUUUUUGAAAACUGUUCUCUAAUUUUUGUAAAACAAAAGUCUAUUUGAAAACCUAAAAUGUUUUUAACCUAUUUUUAAUAUUUUAUAUAUGUUUUAAAAAUAAUUUUUAUAUCUAGUGUUUUAUUUUUAAUUAUUCUACAUGUUUGUAUAAUUAUUUCUUAAAACAACCCUCAGAAAACAAGUGAGAACAAAAGAAAACAAGUAAAAGAUUUUAUCUGAAAACACCUUAUUUUCUGUUCUUAAAAACAACAAAUAGAAAAUAGUUUUUCAUUAUCAAACGUGUUUUUUGCAUUUUUUGUUCUAGAGGACAAAAAACCAUUUUAAAAAACAGUUCCCAAACAGACUCUAAAUCUUCAAGUAUCGGAAUAUUGCCUCAAUAUGGAACUUUCAGAUCUAUUCAUAUCUAAGAAGGCUCACAUAUGUUCAUUUGUAACCAUCAAAAGCACACCUCUAUGAAGCAGCACUUACAGUUGAUCGAGGAGCUGCGGCUGUUGGCUUUGCAGAUUUUUAUGGAUGCUAAGACUUUCUUGUAGCCAUCAUUUUAAGCCAGUAACCAUUGUCAUAUACUAGGGACUUGUAAAAAAAACCAUCUUUUUAGGUUUUUAAAUCUUUAAAUUAAUUUAUCCUGAGCAUCAUAAACUAACAUUGCUUGUAAUCUUUGGGCAGUUGAUUCAAGGGUUGAAAUUUUCCUUUGUAAUCUUUGGACUCGGUGCAGGCUGCACAUGGUUCCUAGUCCUCUUUCCUUUGUAGACUUUGUGGAGUGGUUGGGUUUAGGAUAAGGGGGUUGUAGUUGGUGUCCCUCUUUGCUUUUGUGUUGCCUUGAGGUGUUUCUUUGUAUACGUCGUAUGUACUUUGGAACGCUUUUUCUGGUGUUACUUUUUAUAAAUUGAUUCUGAUUACCUAUCUCAAAAAAAAAAAAAAAAAACAUGGGAUAAAUAUGGGCAAUACUAAUUCACAUUUUUUUGGCUUAAAAAUAUUCUUUAGCAGUAAAGAACAUUCUUAUACUUUUUGUGGUUACAAAAUUUUUGAAGACAUAACAAUAACCUCAAAUAUGCUUUAACUUUGAUAUUAUCAGGUCCAUUUGCUGUCAUUGAUGAACACUUCAAUUCAAUCCUUCCAAAUUGUUUUGAUGCAAUUGGCCUGAUGCUUAUGAUCCGCAUAAUACAUCAACACCAGGUAAUGUUACAUCUAUAACAUCAUGGUAUUGCUUUUUUGGGUUAACUUAAUAUAUGUACUUCUGGUUUCCCAACUGAACCUCAUACCAAGAGUCACAAAGACUUCAUUUAUAUGCACAAAUACAUGCAUAUGCACCUGCCUUGUCUAUUCAUCAUCAAUCAAACCAACUGCUUUCAAAGUUGUGGGAUGUGACAAAAUGAAAGUGGACAGAGAACAUUUACAAAAAUUUUAGAAUGAUAUGAUGGAUAUCUAAUUUGAUAAUAGGUGAGUUCAGUGUCAUGAAGCGUAUUGGUACUGAUAGUGAAGAGGCCAGUUUGAAUACAUUAUUUAAACUGAUUAAUGGGCACCUCAAGACAAUAUUGAUUACAUAAAUGUGCAAAAUGUAAACUGUGCUCUCUAAUACUAGCAGUCUGGCUCCGAUUUUCUACUUAUAUUUCUGAGUAUAUUUGUGGGUCUCUGUGAGAUAGUCAAACUUUGUUGUUAAAGUCAUCUUAUUGCUUGAAGUUGGCAUUGAACAUAACACAGGGAUAGAGUUACAACUUGUGUGGUACAAAUUUAAAUCAAGCUUCUGAAAGGUGGGAGCUCUUCUUGAACUCUGACCCAUUCCAAUAUUCAAAUCAACUGUCCAACCUGCUUAACCAGGUCAUAUUGAGUCUGCUUUAAGCACUGGGUCUCAUGUUCUCUUUGGUUUGAAGAGAAUUUGGGUCAGGUUGAUUUAAUGCUAUCUGAUCUCUGUUAAAUGAUCUCCAUUUAUCCAGUACUCAUUUUCAUUGAAUAGUCACAUGGCAAAUUCAUGUUUACUGGUUCAAAAGUAUGCUUGAAAUUGGUAGGGAUUGCAGGGGGCUUUUUAAAGUAGGUAUUUUAUCAAUGAUCACAUUCCCCAGAACAAGAUUAAUUGCUUUGAGUUUUGUUUUAUAAAUAUCAAUUCCCCUGGUCAAAAUCUUUGACCUGAUGCUUUGGCAAGCUCAAACAGUGUGGAGUGUCAUUUUGCAAGUAUUUCAUCCCUAAGUAAAGGAUUUUUAAAAUUUAGCAUAACUAAUCUUUUGCUCUGUGGUUCAAAUUUGGUCAACAUUGAUUACAUAUUACAAUCUGGCACUGAUAACUUCUUUCUUUUUCAGCUUGUUAUGUCUCGUCGGCGGAUUCCAUGCUUGGAUUCAUAUUUGGAUAAGGUCUGUAUCUUCAAAUUUAAUUAAAUAUUUUAUUCUCCAUUUACUUGGUUAUCUAUGAUGAGUGCCCUUACCAUUCAUAAAGGACUGACAAUCAACCACCAUGUAUGCAGUUCUCUUAUAACCACCAUACAUAUUGCAGUGCAAGCUGCUGAACAAUUAGUGGAUUUAGUUAUUUGUCAGAGAAAAACAAAAGAAUAAAGGAAAACGCAAUAUAACUCAAAUAUCUCGGUGGUAGGCUUUAGAAUUAUAUUUUGUAAUUGUGUAGGAAGGUGGGAGGGGGAUGGCUAAGACUCCUAAGAGUUCGGGGAGGUGCUACUUUAUCUUAGUAUCAGUAGAACGUAUUGAAAGACAAGAAAAGUAAAUGGAGAACUGAGUACUUUAUCAUCUUAUUUUUUGUUUCUUAUAGGCUUACAUCAUUCAAGUUUAGAGUGAUGAAAGUUGUACGUAGAAAAGACAACUGCAAAAGUAUAUUUUGCAACCUUGACCAACUUGCUUUGGUUUGACCUGACUUGGAUGAGUGAAUACAGCAAAACUAAGCUAAAUUUAGUCUUAAUUAGAUGACACUAACUAAUUUCAGAUGAAUUUUGCAGGUCAAUAUUUCUCUGUGGCCACGUUUCAAGAUGGUAUUUGACAUGCACUUGAACAGCUUGCGCAAUGCCAACAUGAGGGCAUUGUGGGAAGAUGAUAUUCAUCCUCACUAUGUCAUGAGGCGUUAUGCUGAGUUUACAUCCUCACUUAUUCACCUCAAUGUUGAAUAUGGAGAUGGGCAGGUUUGAUGCAUUUUGUGAUUGAAAAUUCUAAGAUGUUUCUUAGUAAUAUUUUAGUUGGAGUUACUGCUUAAAUAUAUUGCCCCUUGAUAUUUGCAGCUUGAACUAAACUUGGAACGGUUGAGGAUGGCUAUUGAUGAUAUGGUCAUCAAGCUUGCUAAAACAUUCUCAAAAACUAAACUACAGACUGUGUUUCUUAUAAACAACUAUGAUAUGACAAUUGCCAUUUUGAAGGUAUGGAUCAGUAUCUACAUUUUCUUUAUGGACAAAACAAGAUAAUGGAGUCAAGUCACGUAUUAAAUGCUAGACCCCUCAAGUCACUUAAUGGGUUGAACAGUGUGAAGCAUUACUUGGAGAAAUUACUUUGCUUCACAUAUAAUGUCUUUCAGAUGGAAGCCAUGUCUACUCAUCUUGGAUGCUGCAGAAGGUUACAAUUUCCAUAGUUGAUUGCAUUUUUUUUUUCGAUAUUUGUUUACAGGAAGCUGGUCCAGAAGGUGGGAAAAUUCAACUGCACUUCGAGGAACUUCUGAAGAGCAACACAGCAAUAUUUGUGGUAUGAUUUGAGUUUAAAGCUUGUAUUUAUACAGCACAGAAAUCCCAUUAUGAAUCUAGAAGUUGGAUGAUUGCAGCUAAACUCUGUUCGGCUCUUUUUUAGAGAAAAAAAUAUUGACAAAAAUAAUAGGAAUUAGAAGGGGAAGAAUCAUCUCCUUUCAAUCUGCAGUUUGUCUGUUUUCAAAAAGGAGUAAUCCAAACAUCAAGCCAUUAAUCUUUGCUUCAGAAAACCAUAUUGCUUGGUAGUGUUAGAACAGUAAAACCUUUUCCAUCAGUAGCAAAAGUGAGUUAUGCAACUAGUUCUUUUACAAAUGGGUCGUCUGAAACCUAAUGGGUUGAAUCCCUGUGGCAAGACCGAUCAUUUAGGCUGAUUUUCGAACUCCUGUUACCUUGCCUGUGUCUCCCUGCAGGAGGAACUACUACUAGAGCAUUUCGGUGACCUAAUCAAGUUUGUAAAGACCAGGGCCUGUAAGUAUCUCCAUCUUUUCACCCUCACUGUGACAUCUAACUUCUCCAUUGGCUACAUAAGCUUAUGUGCAAAGCUCUGUUAUUAGCCGAGGACCCGAGUUCCAGCUCCGAGAGGCCCAUAACUGUGGCUGAAGUUGAACCGCUUGUGAAGGACUUUGCAAGCAGAUGGAAAUCUGCGAUAGAGCUGAUGCACAAAGAUGUGAUUACCUCUUUCAGCAAUUUCUUGUGCGGUAUGGAGAUCUUGAGAGCUGCAUUGACACAGCUGCUGCUUUAUUAUACCAGACUUUCCGAUUGCAUAAAAAGAAUUCCCGGUGGAUCGGCCCUGAACAAAGAUCUCGUUUCCAUAUCAUCGAUCAUGUAUGAAAUCAGAAAAUACUCGAGAACUUUCUAAAUCAUCGACCUAAUGCUGCUGCUCUGCUGGUGGAAAACAAGGCUUUGAACAGAGGUUGAUUGUUGUCAUGGCAACGGAAACCAUUUUGGACGUAGGCUCAAAUUUGAGGAUAAACUUAACAAACAUUAAAAUGGAGAGGGAAAAAAAUACAGAAAAACAAACUAUAAUUCGUAAUUAUUUUGAAUGUUUCGUGACCGUUGCAAACGGUGAGUAAAGUUUGGAAUGUGAUUUUUAUUAUUAGUUGUUUCUAAUAAAAUAGGAAUUUGAACUGGGGCUGUGGAUGAUGCAGGAGACACCUAGGUGAAGUUUAUGACUUAUAGCGUUAAGUUAUAGCUUUGAAUGAAUUUAUUUUUGAAAUUUGCUCCCUCUAGUUUAAUUAAAGGCAAGCAGAUCUUUAAAAAAAAAUACUAAAAAAUUUAUAUUUUAGAGAAAACAAUUUAGCAAAUGAAAAUAGAGCUUCAUAUGUAAGUCGUCCUAAUUUAUCUUAAAUUUUUUAUUUUAUCCCAUUAAAUUGAGUGGAAAUUUCAUAAAUUAUUUUUAUUUAAAUAAUAAUUAUUAAAUGAUCCUAAAAAAUUAAAUAUUAGAAGGUUUCCUUUUGGUUCAACUUUUCAAACUUCUAUUACUUAUAUUUAUUUUGUAAUUAUCACCCGCACAGCCGUCUUAGCUCAGCCGGUAGAGCGCGUGGCUUUUAACCACGUGGUCGUGGGUUCGAUUCCCACAGACGGCGAUACUUUUUCCAUUUUAAACCUUUGUCUUAACGGCGUCGUUUCAUGUCAAUUUUUUAUUGGUUAUGAUUCAGUGAUGCGCACCACCAACAUCUCGCCUGCUUCCUCGCCAUCCCACCACACGUUUCUUUCCUCAUUGGAUGACGAAGAUGGUGAUAAUUCGGUGGUGCGCACCACCGCCAACUCUCCUGCUCCCUCACCAUCCCACCGCACGUUUCUCCUGUCCCAAACCUCCAUCCGUCGUCUAUGCAAAAUCAUCUUCUCCUGCUUCUUCUUCGACAACGAGAAGAGCUCUAUCUCUUUCUCUAAUCUUCUCAUCAUUCACUUGUUCUUAUUAUUCUUCUUCAGAAGCUGCCACUUCUGAGUUCUUCGAGCUCCAAGGUUCGGGUGGUGUCAAGGCAUUGGACCUCCGAACUGGUUCCGGUGAGGUUCCCGUGGAUGGCGACCAGGUGAUUCCCUUCCCAUUCUCUCAAUUUUCUCUCUAUCUUAUUCAUUUUUUUCAUGCAUGCGAUUAAACCCUAAAUUCUAACCCUAGGUGUAUGUUUAUUUAUUAGAAUCCUGAAAUUUGCUAAUCGAUAGGCUAUGUAUGCCAUGAAACCCUAAUUUCAAAUCCAAGGUGUCAGUUCAUUUGCUAGAGUUUUAACAUUUGCAAAUUGAUAGACUAGAUGAUUAAAGAAAAAGAAAAAGAAAAAAGUAGUGCUUUGAUAAGAGCCCUAAGAUCUUUUGGGAGGGUGUGUUUUGCUUGUCCUUGAAAGCUUAAGGAUUGAAGUUGUGGGUUACAGGUUUUUGGUAACUUGUAAUUUGCAAGUAAUUUCUUCAUUAUCUGGAAAAACCGGUUUGGUCCUUCCAGUUUUUAAUUUCAUUUUUGAACAAUAUGACGGGUUUAGGAGAAGGGGAAAAUAGUGCUAAGAAAUCCCCACUUUGAGUGCUUGUGUGGGUCGGGGGUUGGGGUUCAAGCCUGCAUAUUUAGAAACUAUAAUGAAAAGUUAUUUUAAUAUUUCAUAAUUUUAUUAUUGAAAGGACCUUUGUGAUCGACUUACUAGGAUUUGUGAUUGAAAAUUCCCAUCUUUUGAUUAGUGAUGCAAGAAGCAAUAUAAUGGGAGCAGGUUGGAGUUGAAUGUUUAUUAGGAACUCGAUAUGUGGCUUACCAGUCAUAAUGGCAAUUCUCAUGGUUCUGUGUAUUAAUAAACUUGUCCAUGCUAUAUUGUUACGCAGCAUGUGAUAUAGUUUAUGAUUGGCUGACAUAGAGCUAAUUAAUACUUUUCUUGACGAUUCUGAUUAAACCAUUCUAGAAUUCAUACUUCUACAAAUAACCCACCAAAAAAAACACCAUUCUAGACUAUCAUAUUGACUGUUGUUAUAUUGGAAAUCCUGUAAAGUGCAGCAUUUGAGAUAUUGCAACAAAUAAAAAAUCCAAGAAUACAUUGCCUAGCUUUUUUUGCUUUUAAACACUGUUUAUCAUAGGAUCUAGAAUAAAAAAAUGUGGAACAUUAAGACCUUUUAUAAUAAUCAGCACAAACUAACCCUAAUUUGGUUUUUGAAUGUGCAGGUUGCAGUUCAUUACUAUGGAAGAUUGGCAGCUAAACAAGGAUGGCGUUUUGAUUCAACAUAUGAUCACAAAGAUGAAACGGGUGAACCGAUUCCUUUUGUCUUCACCCUUGGGUCUGGGAAAGUAAGUCUGAUGGUUUUCCAAUUCUUCUUUAUGUGUAUACCGCUCAUUUCAUGUUUAUGGGUUGCAAAAAUGCCUCAUGUUGCAAAUACAAGGCAUGCAAUGCUUAUGGUUUAUGUUAUCAACCCAUGCCCAAAUGGAUGGGAGCUUGUGUUGCUUCUCUUAAUUGUUUUAGCUUUCAUCUUUUCCUUUUCUUUCACUAGUUUAUAAUGUUCCUUCUGAAGAAUCUGAACCCCGUAUGCUUGUAAUGCAGAGGGUCAGCUGCAUGCCUGGAAACUCAUGUUGACUGACUUAUCUGAUCAUUUCCUACCAUCCAAGUCACACAUGAGCAGGGCCAAAUGAGAUCCAGCUUCUUAUGAGUCCUAGUUUGGAUUUCAAGUAGAAUAGCAUAAGAUGUGGGCUUUCUAUUCCCUCAAAUAAUUAAUUUAAUUGAGAACUUACCAUCAAUUGCAAACUCCAAUUUAUUUCAUAUCAUAUAUUAUUAACAGGGAUAGAGAUUCCUGAAUAUAAGAAAGUUCUUCCUUAGGAAGAUUUUUAAAUCAAAAGUAAAAUUCCAAAUCUGAGUACUGCAAUCAAGAAAAUUUUGAACCUUAGGAUCCAAUUAGUUCUUUUUCUGGACUCCGAAGGAGCAGAACUACCAUUGCCAAUCAGGGUUUAAAUCUCUGCUUCCCUUUGUAUAUAUCUCUUACAAUAGUUUUUUUCCUUUUUUUCUCUUCUGAUGAUAGUUUAGAAUAGUAAACUUCUUAUCAUAGAAUGAUAAAUGGUAUUGACAAUUGGAUCUCUUUAAUGAUUAUUCUUAAGAAAUCAAAUUUAGAGGUUUUUUUGUUUUAUUUUAUAUUUGAUGCGAAAUGUCAGAGUUGUAUGCAGGUUAUUUCAGGGAUUGAAGCUGCUGUGAGAUCUAUGAAAGUAGGGAGCAUUCGUCGAGUCAUCAUCCCACCAUCCCAAGGAUAUCAGAACACAUCCCAAGAGCCCAUACCACCCAAUGUAUGUUCUCUAUUUUUCAACUACAUUCCUCUUAGGCUAUGUUUUGGUUAAAAUUUGAUGAUACAUUGCUUGGGGAAAAAGAUGUGUCUGUUAUAGAUCUACUCAAAUGGUAUUAACUUGCCCCAUUACCAUUAACCUAAUAACAUGUGAGAUUUUAUUAUUAUUGGUGGUUUAAAUUGAAUAAUGGCAGCAACUAGCGAUACUUUAGUUACGCUGUUGGACAGCCUUGCCACAAUGCUGAACGCUAUGUGCAUUUCUAUUAGCUCAGAUUGUUUUUGUGCAGCCUUUCCCAGACUGUUAAUCUUCUUUGUUAUGUCCUUUUAACAGUUUUUCGACAGGCAGAGAUUAUUUACCACCAUUUUUAAUCCAACCCGUCUUGCAAAUGGAGAAGGCUCGACGUUGGGGACUCUCAUAUUUGAUAUUGAAUUGGUCAGCCUGAAGCACCCAUGAAACCCAGAUUCCAUGAUUCUAAAAACAAGUUAUUUGUAUUCAAUACAAGCUGGAUCCUGCAUUUUCAUUCGAUUGUGAGUGCUGAAGGUGUUGCAGCCUCUUAUCUCUGAUACCAAGCUUCCAGAAUGUUGGUUUCCCAAGCUCUACACCAAUGCUCCAAUGAGAUAAUGCAGGUGUGUGUGUAUGUAUGUAUGGGUUCUCUGUUGAUAGUCCAAAAUGUACCUAAAAUUUGGAAGUUAAAUUUUUUAAUUGGGUCAUUUAGCCAAGCUAUGAAUGUCACUGGAGGUUAAUUUUGAAUUGGGUCAAGUUAAUUUUGAAUUGAAAUAUGAAAAAAAAAAAUAGUUUUUCAAUUUAACAAUGUCUAAUUAUAUGCUACAUGAAAAAGUUUUUGACCUAUUUUUUGUGCUUCCAAUUAUUUUUUACACUAUUUUACAACAAAAGCCUGAAAAUACCUCUAAUUGCUCUAAAAAGUUAUUCUAUUUUUAAAUCCUAAAGAUGUUUUGGAAGUUGAGAAACUUCUUUCUAUUAUUCCAAACAAAUCCCAAGGUGAAGUUAACACAUCUAAGUGGAAAAAGAUGAGAUGGAGAAAUUAUUUUGGGCCCUCAUCUUGAGCCCUAAGGAAUUUGAAUCUUCACUUGGAAAUUGGGUAAAGCCAAUUAUAAAAAUGUAAGGAUUUGGAGUAAAGGCAAAAGUGUUUGGAGACAAACUGAAUAUUGAGCUUCCAAGGAAACUUCAUAUUAUCAAAUUGUCAUCCAAAAGAUUAGGGUUUAAGAUCAUUAAUAGAAUCAUCACCAAAUAUUUUGGUUAUAAAAUGCUUUGAAAUUUAAUUUAUAGAAUGCUCUGAAAUUUUAGUUUAUUUUAUAAACAGUUUACAUGAAAAUCUCAGGGAAGGUUGGGUGUUUAUUUUUAUUUUUUUUACAAAAAAAAUAAAAAGAUAUUGUUUCAAAUGUUUUUUUUUUCUAAAUAUAGCCAUUAUUUUUAUUUUGCUGAUAUAUUAAGUCCUUAAUUUCAAAACUUCCAAGAAAAAUAUUUAGCAUCGAAACCUUUACAAAAUCAAUUAUAAUUAUAAAUAGUUUAUUUUAUUUAAUUAAUUAAUUAAUUUUGAGAAAAUAGCAAUGAAAAACAAUUUAUUAACUUAAAUUUAAUUUUUUUCAUUUCUACCCCACAAAAUUUCUAGAAACAAAUCAAAACACAAAUGCUCUCCCUUGCUUCCAUGACAGAAUUAGUUCUCAUUUUCACAUCUAUGAAUAUGAAUGGAAAGAUCCCAAUUAUAAUCUCUACAACAAGUUGUUAGAAUCAAUGAUAUUCAAAUCAUUCAUCUAGAAAGAUAGAAACUUUUAUUAUUAAAUGACUAUAAUAUUUUUUUUAAAAUCAAAAUUCAUUUAUUAAUGGAGGAACAAUAUCAUCAUUUUAAAUAAGAUACCAAAGUCUAUCAUCCACUCAUUCCAAAAGGGAAGUAGUGGUAAGAAAUCUUUUGAUGACACAUAUCUCCAUUUGUAGAGUAUGACAAAAGAAAUUAGGAUUAAAAAAGUGACUAUACCAUAUGGAUAACCUUGGAAGAAUAUCAUUAAUUUAUAAAACUUUUUUUUUUUAGAAUUUUAUGGUAAUUUGUCGUUUUUAUUCUCAAAAUUAUUUAAUUAAAGAUAAUAAAUUAGGGGAAAAAAAAAAGAAAAAAAAAAGACCCACAACCCAAAAUUAUAAAAGAAAAUAUAUACAUAUAUACACAGUGGCGCAUGACUCAAAACCACUUUUCCAUCAUUUUCUUGGGAUUUCUCUGUUUAUGUAUAAAACUUGUGUCUCACACUCCUCCAUUCAAACCCCACACUUUUUUGCCUCUUUCCCCCACCAAAGCAAAAGCAGCGAGUGAGGAGGAAGAAGCGGUGGAUAAAGGAGAAGGAGAAGAGGAACAGAGCUGAGAUCUGCGAGGCAAAAUUCCUCCCUGAGAUGGGUCAGAAGUCUCUCAUCUACGCCUUCGUGGCUCGUGGGACUGUGAUUCUGGCGGAGUACACUGAAUUCAGCGGCAAUUUCAAUUCCAUUGCCUUUCAGUGCCUUCAGAAACUCCCCGCCACCAGCAACAAGUUCACCUACAAUUGCGACGCCCACACCUUCACUUACCUUCUCGAUAAUGGCUACAGUGCGUGCCUUUUUCUCCUUUCCCUUCUUCUCUUUUGGUUUCGGUUUUUCUUUACUGGAAAAACGUGGGAGUUUGAAGUAUUUUAGGUUUGGAAAGAGACGGGAGUGGAUGUUGGUGUGGUUUUGUUUGGUUUGGGCGAGUGGUUUUUCAAUUGGGUUUGAUUAGUUUGGUUUCUACGUUUUAGUUUGUUUCUGGGAUUUGUUUGAUUGCUGAGAAAAUGUGGAAAGGGGAAGAAAGGUGAAGACUAUGUUUAUGUGAUGCCUACACAUUCAUUUCCCGUCCCCACAAUGGUUGCAGUACCUCUCUUUCCUUUUCUUUUUUUUUCUCCUCUUUUCUUUGAGUUUCCGUGUUUUUUUCUGAGAAAAUGCGGUAAAAUGAAGAAACCAAAUUACUGUAGUUCUGUUUAGGUUUACGGGGAGCUAGGGUUUUCAAGUGGGUUGGUUUAAUUUCUAUGUUGUGGUUUGUUUCUCAGGCCCGCUUGGUUCCUGAGAAAAUUUGGGAGAAGGAAAGAAAAUGAAAUUAGCGUUUUGAAUCUAAGAUAUUUUCCUUGUUGGGGUUCUUCUUACGAAUACAAACCAACGGAAAACAUGAUAUUGAGUAUUGUGUUUUUCUUUCUCUCUCUUCAAUGAUCUGAUUGUUCUUGUUUGUAUAAUGUUUUGAUCCUAUAGUGGUUCAGAUCUGGUUUUUUUUUUUCCUUUUCCCUUUUCUUUUUGCCUGAGAAAGUUGAAGAGAAAUAAUUCUAUGAAGUUUUAUAUUAGUUGCAAAUUCUCCAUUUAGUUGCCAAGAAAGUAAAAGGAAAUGAGAGUGAACAAGGGAUCAGUUUCAGAACCAAGAAAGAAGAAAAGAAAAACCCAAUCACAAAUUUUCAUUAAGAAUAUAGAAAUGGAGGAACUUUCUCCUAUGUAAAUUAUUAUAUCUUUGAUCAACUUAUUAAAAGUUAAAAACAAAAAUAAAAAUAAAAAUAAAAUCAUUGAUUCAUUUUUGUGCUCUCCAACCAGGAAUCUAAUAUUGUUGUAUUAAUAAAAUUAUUAAAAUUUUUGUAUCUUUUUAAAAUAAGUUGUUUAAGAUCUCGUUUAUUUUUCGUACCUAUGCUGCUGUGCAUUACUCUUGCUCGUACUUGUAUAUUAGACAUUCUAUCUGCAUUAUCUUGUAUGAAGCCUUUGAAAGUUAUUAUUGGUGUUUUCUUUCAUUUAGAUUAAGUUUACACUGGAAAAAUGCACCUUGAAUAAAUUUAGACAAGGUAACAAUUUUGUCCCAAUCUCUUUUACGAUAAAUGGGAGGGUGGUAAAGUAAGCUAGCUUUCAACCGGCAUGAUAUCAUUUCCCUCAAAACCUCUUUGUUUGUUGAAAAUUUUCUGUGUUUGCUUCAUUAUUAAUGAAAUUCUGUUUCUUAUGGAAAUCAAUUCUGUGUUUGGGGAUGUACUAUCUUCUGUGCUGAUGUGUUUGCCAUUGUUUUUCAGACUUCUUACUACGAUCAGACCGGUCUUUUCUUUCCAAUGUUUAAAAAACUGAUUAUUUUUAUUACUUUUUCCCUAAUGGAUUUAUCUUAGGUGGGAAAAUAUUUUUCAUCUAGAACAUCUAAUAGAGAUUUUCUUUAUUACUUCUUAUUUUGAUUGUAGUUGUUGGCAGUUUUUAGAAUUAUUUUCUUAUUUUCUUUUAUAUAUUUUCUAAUUUUCGGGUGUUGCAGCUUAUUGUGUGGUUGCAGAUGAAUCAGUAGGAAGACAGGUUCCCAUGGCUUUCCUGGAACGCAUCAGAGAUGACUUUGUUGCACGAUAUGGGGGUGAGAAGGCUGCCACAGCUCCUGCAAACAGCCUUAACAAGGAUUUUAGGUAUUCUUUUCUGAUUUAGAGAGACAUUUUGGUUGGAUUUUAUCUUAUAGUUGCUGAUAAGUGUCUUUGUUGCAGUUCAAAAUUGAAGGAACACAUGCAGUACUGUGUUGAUCAUCCCGAGGAGAUAAGCAAGCUUGCGAAGGUGAAAGAUCAGGUUUCAGAAGUUAAAGGUGUUAUGAUGGAGAAUAUUGAGAAGGUAAAGUUGCAUUGUUUGGCUACUUUUUAAGCGCUUUUUUCUUUGAGACCUCACUCAGAAUGUAAGAGACGAAGCCAACAAAGGGUUCACAUUUUUCCCUUCUUUAACCAAGCUCCAAAAAAUAAAACUAAGUAAGGAGAUUCAGACUAGCAUAUGAUUUUACUCUUUAUGGGUGUACAAGAUUCAACUGUCUUAAGGAUGCAAUGGGAGGGAUUAAGUGGCCUGUUCUGACCUGCUUCAACCUUAUGGGGAUGGGUUUUGGAUGGCUAUAACUGGAGUCAGGGUUGGGUAUGCCAUUUUUAUUACUGACCUGAGUUCACAACUAACCACAGAUCUAUAUGCCGAAAUGCCAUGUAAAGGACGAUGAAGUGAUAAUCUGUCCUUGUAACCUUUAUGCUUGGAUAAUCUCUGAUGCAUUUGUAUGCCAACUGUUAUUUUAUCCCUUGUUCAGGAACAUCAUGCACAUGAUAUUAACCCUGUGCCGUGUUGUAGGUUCUAGACAGAGGGGAAAAGAUAGAGCUUCUGGUGGAUAAGACUCAUAACCUUCAUGAACAGGUCAGUACUUUUCUCUUUCUCGCUGUCCAUCUAUUUGUCUUCAUCUGUGUUCACUGAUUCUGGAACUUAACACUUCUCUAUGAACUUCAACCGGUUAAUCUCCCUACCAAAUUUCACUAGAAGUGUAAUUUGGAGUUAACAACAAACUCUUAUUCAUGUUCAUGUGCCCAUUAAAAAAGAGACUUUGUGAAUUAGCUCCACACUCAUAUAUAUAUAUAUAUUGCAACCUUUGUUUUAUUAGCAAAAAAUUGGAUUACAGGGAAGAUGAGCAAGACAACAGUUAGGUAUCGGAACUAGGGUUUUUCUUUUAUAGGUAACCAAAAAGGCUAUAAAUACAUAUAAAGAAAUAGGUAUUGGGAACUAGGGUUAUGUACAACAGGGAAAUGAUAAUGAUAUUCUGAUAAAAAGAUUGGUAACAAAUAUGCCUUUACUAGCAUCCAAAGGUAUACAGUAUACUAUCAUGCUCAUCCAUCAGAUUUGUAAUGAAGUUAAUUUUGAUACAGGCACAAGAUUUUCGGAGUGCUGGAACCAAAAUCCGGCGGAAAAUGUGGCUGCAGAACAUGAAGAUCAAACUCAUUGUGUUGGGGAUUCUGGUAGCCUUGAUCCUCAUCAUAGUCCUCUCUGUCUGCCAUGGCUUCAACUGCGGGAAGUGAGCGGCGCUCCAUCUGCUGAUCUUGGUGUCCGGAGAAAUGCCCUAGCGUUUGUAGUAGAAGAACAAAAGUAAGCGACUCCCAGUUAAAAUCUGAACCAAAGACAAGUUAUUUUAGAGAGUAAUACAAACAACAUAUAUAUCGUGUCAUGUCAUUAUAACUGCAUUCAGAAAUAUGAAAUUGCUUGUUUGCAAACAAAUUUAGAAAAUGGAACUUGUUUUUGCUUCUCUUCAUAAACCUGCCGCCCAUCAUGCAGGCAGCUCAAAAUUUUUCGCAUUCUUUCCAUUCUUGUUCUCUUUCAAAAAGCAACGCUAAUGAGCUCAAUGCUCGAGCCUCAUUGCCAUGCAUUUAUAGAUACAAUGUCAUGAUUGUGGUGCAAUCCAUUAUCAUAUUAAGCAUAUUAUUUUACGAUUCCAUACUACGACCAACAAAAUUAAUAUAUUCGAAUCAUUGAAUAUAUAUAUGAAGAGAUCUAAAUCAUCAUUGUACAACGAAAUCAUUGAAUAUAUAUGAAGAGAUCUAAAUCGUGGUACAAGGUAAGAACAAAGGAUACAAACAUGAUUGGUAGUGCCAUCAUUCCAUAUGAUGGGAUAUUUUAUUUGGUUUUUCAAGGCUAAGUUGGGUGGGAAAUAAAUGGAAAUUAAAAAAAAAAAAUGGAUUUCAAAAUUUUUUUUUUUUUGUUUUAAAUUCAUUAUGUUUAAAUAAUUUUCACAAAUUUUUUUUAUUAUUAUUAAUAAAUAAAAGCUUAGAUUUUUUAGUUGUUUUUAUUAUAUUCGAAAUAUCUUAAAUCAUGGAAUUAAUGCGAAAAAGAUAGCGGCUGUCGUGAAUCGAACCUCGGCCGCCGUUUUUUUUUCCCAAGCGCUUUGCCAAGUUGCCAACCAGAUAUACCAACGUUGCAUCGUCUCUUUCACUCCCAGAGGAUUUGUUAUAUUCGAAGCUCCAAGCCCACUCCGACGACGUCGUUUUGGGAAGGGCAUCUUUAUCUUGGUCUUUUGAAUUUGGAAUUUUGGAGAUUGUGAUUUUGCCAAGAAACUCUCUUCCCUCCUCUGCAAACCCCAUUCUUCAUUCCGACCCUAAACCCUAACCUCGGACCCUUAGCUUCUGCUGCUUCUCCCAUUCUGAAUGUCACCCUCUCCCGCUUUUUCGGCAAUUCCAUGUUGCCCAACCUCGAUUUUUUCUCCUUCUCGUUUCCGCUGUGUUUCCUCUCCUCCACUUCUGCAUUCCAGUUUAACCCACUAGGAAUCUCGGUUUUGGGCUCUAUGUACGUGCUCGGAUCGGGGAAACCAGGCAGCCAUGUCGGAAUGUGGGGGCUCUGUUUUGAAUUCGAUGGGUUUUGCGGCAACGGUAGAUUUUGGGAGAGGUUGGAGCGGCGGGGGAGGGGCUUGGCGAAUGGGAUUUCGCAGCGGGAGUAGACGAAUUUGAUGAGGUCAAGAAGAGGGCUCGAUGCGAGGAGGCAGCCGUUGGGGUUGGAGGCGCCGGCGAAGCCUUGGUCGGAGGAGAGGUGUUCGAGGGCGUGGACGACGUCGUAGAUAUUGGAUUGCGUGCGACCGGAGGAGGCGGCCCGUGAGGAGGCGGAUUUGGCGAGGGUUUGGAGAUAGAGUGUGGUGAUUCUAGUAAUUGUUUCGAGGGCGGAGGAUUGGGCGGUUCUGAAGCCUGCAGAUUGACAGAUCUGAGCCACUGCUACCUUCGUGAUAGCGAAUGAGAACUCGGACGGCCCUAGGGUUUCUAGGGUCUCCGAUUCCAUGUUCAUUGUCUGCAAAAACACAACUUUAGACAUGUAAGAACCUUAGAACCCUAGCCUGUUUAAAAGGAGCUCGUAAACUUUAUUACUGUAAUUAUUUUUUACAUUUAAUCUCUUAUUUAUUUAUUUAUUCUUAAUUAAAGAAACAUGAGAUAAAUACAUCAACUGAUGGUGACUUUUGUUUUUUGUUUUUUUUAUUUAAUUAAUUUUCUUUGUAAAAAAAUAAAAUAGAAAUAAAAAAAAAGCAUAAAAUCCUACUUUGGGUCCACUAUAAAUUUAUAAAUUUGUAAAGAUUAAUUCAAUUACAAUUUAAUUUUUUUUUUAAUUUUCAGUAAAUAAAUAAAAACUUCAGUCCACGCAAGUCUUAUAAAACAAUUUUUGAAAACUGUUUUUUAAAAAACAAUUUUUAUGACAUAUUUUUGUGUGUUUUUGGAAAUAAAAUUAUAUUUAAUAAUUAAAUUUUGGAAAAAAAAAAUAUUCUAAGAAAAACAUGUUUUUGAGUUAAUAAAAAAGAUAUAAUUGAAAUUUAAAAUUAAGUAAGAACAAUUGAAAAAAAUAUACAAAAGUCUCAUCAAAUAAGAAAGUGUGAGUCAAAUUUCACCGAACAAACCAAACCAAUAUAUUCCCUUUCGUGUGUAUAUUUAAAUUAAUUAGUAUAUAAGAAAGUGAUAGACUUCAUGACUUCACAUGUCAGAUCACAUCUCUUGCUGUGAUUCCAGGUUGGAUUUCGUUGAUGGGUGGAAUUGGGGAAAGAAAGGGAGAGGGGGUAGGGUUUCCAGUGAAUAUUUUGAUGAUAACUAUGCCGAUAAAGAGGGUGACAACAGCGGGAAGAAGACGAGGACAAAGAAUGCGAGAACAUGGAGAAGAACUUUGGGAAAAACAUGAAGAACAAAUAUGCUCUUUUUGUUCUCUAAACAAUACAAAAAAACAAGCAAAACAAGUUUUUUUAUUCUCUAAAAAGAAGAAUUUUGAUAAUAUUGGGACACGAAAAACAAAAAUCAUUUUCUUUACCAAACAAGUUUUCACUGUUUUUUAUUUUUAAAAACAUAAAACAUUUCUUGAAAACACUAACCAAACGUAAUAUUUGAUUUUCUUUAUUCGAAUUUUGGAUAUACUUAUUCUAAUAUGGAAAUAUUUUAUUUUGAAUAUUAUAAUAUUGAGACUAUAUGUUGUUUUUGUUAAAUCUUAUAAAAUAUAUGUAAUAUUUCAUAUGAUUUUGUUCGAUAUUGACAUAUUUUAAAAUUUUUGGAGAUUUAAGAUUGAUGGAAUAAUACUAUUUCGAUUUUAUGACUUGAGUGUAAAAAAAAAAUUUUAGUUUUAAUAUACAUAUUUUAAUAUCAUGCUUGGUGAAAAAUAGAGAUUUUAUUUUGAUAUAUUUGAAAUAUAUGAAAACUUGAACAAAUAUAGUUGAGAAUCAUGCGAACUAUCUUUCAUUAAAGACAAUCGAUGAUAUAUGAAAACAAUGUUGUAUUGUAUUGCUCAGGCUCAUUUACACUUAAAAGCUUUAGAAGAGUAGUAAAAUUAUUACUUAAUGUGUAAGAUCAAAUGACAAUUUAACAAACUUAUUCAUAAAAGCAUUGUCGACAUUGAAAAAACUCGAAUAUAAUAUUGAAAUGCAAUGAUUCAAAAACCUUUACGGUAAACUAUUAAAGAAUAUAACUAUGUCAACAUAAGGAAAGGAAAUCAAUGAGAACAUCACUGUAAAAAUGAUUGUCAUUUGAUGGGAGUGUCAUAAAUUUUUAUAAUAGCUUAUGAAUUACAACAAUAUUAUCCUUUAGCAUAUAAAUAAGGAUUUUAUGAUUUAAUAAAAGAGAUUGAAAUUUAUUAUCCCCUUAUUUUGUUCUUUUAAUUUUUUUAAGAAAAUUUUCAUAAUAAAUAAUUUAUUUUCACUUUUAUUUUUAACAUUUGAUAACAAAACUAUAUUAAAAAAAAAGUUGGUUUAAAAGAAAUUUUUAUUCCAAUUUUUUCUUGGAAUAAAAAUUAUAAUUUUAAAAUUAUAAAAAAUUAAUCAAUCCUAUUUAAAAUUAUAAAUUUUUAAUGUUUAUUAUUCAAUCACUACUAUAUUUUUUCUUGAUUUAAAAAAACUAAGACUAUUAAACAUAUUUAAUAUUAUAAAUAUUAAAAUUUAUAUUUUAAAUAAACCGUGAAAAGUAUUUAGAUUUUCCCUCUUAAAAUAAAAGUAUAAAAAACAAGAAGUCGUCCCCAAAAGCCCUGUUCUUCCUUAAACCCCUUAAAACCUCUCUCAAAAUCGAAAAUUGCUCCGAUUCUAGUUCCACGAAGAAGGGCUUUUAGAUUUCACAGUUGCAAUCAAGGGUUUCACCUUCUUUCUGGUGGGUUUAGCUGCAGAUGUCUCUUUGCUUUUCUUCAAGCCUCUCUCUUCCGCAGCCGUCUUUCUUUUCUGUAAGAGAAUAUUUCAUUUAUCACAUACAUGUAUGUGUAAUUCAGUAAAUUUUGUGUUUGAAUUUGAACAACGGAUAAUACUACUGUUGUAGAAUCUGAACGGGGAGCAAAGGGUUUGUGGGUUAUGGAGAAAUCCGCGGAUUUUUAGGAGUUUGCGGGUCAGAGCUGGCCCCAAGAGGAUAUCUUUUGACAGAGAAUGUAGGGAGGGCUUACAAGCUGGGAUAGAUAAGCUUGCUGAUGCUGUUUCUCUUACCUUAGGACCCAAAGGUUUCAGAUGCCUUAAUUGGUUUCUCUUUUUUCUUUUUCAUGUCAAUGAAUGUAUGCUUACAGAGACUUAUAAAAAAAAAAAAAGAAUGUAUGCUUAUAGAGAAUUUCUUGAUUGGUUUUAGCUUAAAUCCUGCAGGACGUAAUGUGAUUCUUUCUGAGGCCGGAACAUUAAAAGUGAUCAAUGAUGGGGUGACAAUUGCUCGGGCUAUAGAGCUUUCGGAUGCAAUUGAAAACGCAGGAGCAACGCUUAUGCAAGAGGUCAUUCAGGGUCCUUAGAUGUUUCUUUUACCUAACCAGUUUAUUUGGCAUAAAUUUGUUUGAACGUCGUUUGAAUGUGUACCUAAUUGUUUGUAUGUUGUUAACAGGUUGCAAGUAAGACAAAUGAUGUGGCAGGUGAUGGUACUACGACUGCUAUCAUUUUGGCUCGGGAAAUGAUCAAGUCUGGUUUGUUGGUGGUCGCUUUUGGAGCUAACCCAAUUGGUUUGAAGAAAGGAAUGGAUAAGACUGUGAGAGAAUUGGUCAAGGUUUUGAAGAAGAAAAGCUUUCCUGUAAAAGGGAGGGAUGAUAUAAGAGGUUGGAUACAUCUAUUUGUUUGAAUUUUUUUAGAAAUUGCAACAUGUUAAUCAAAGGAAAUCUUGAAAUGCCUUUACUAUCUGCAGCUGUGGCCUCAAUUUCUGCUGGAAAUGAUGACUUCGUUGGGAAUUUAAUUGCUGAAGCUAUAGAUAAAAUUGGCCCUGAUGGAGUAAUCUCCAUUGAAUCAUCCUCAUCGUCUGAAACCUCUGUUAUAAUUGAAGAAGGAAUGAAGGUGAGUCACAUUAAGAUAUUUCUUAGUUAGAUAGUUCUUUAACAACUUUUGAAGACAACAUAUUGUAGGGGGGCCUAAUGGUUCUGGCAAGAUUUUAAAUUUUGGUUUGGCAUUAAUUCUGGUAUUGGUCUAGAUGUGAAAACAUAUUGCAAAGUUUUUGAAUUCAUUGAAAUGAGAAAUUUGUUUAGAAAUGGGUCUGAAUUUGUCUGAAUCUUUAUAAAAUAAAUAAAAAAAAAAUAAAAUUGUUUGAAUCUUGAAAUGGCUUGAAAUUCAAAGAAAACUACAACCUUUAUGAUGCUUGCCAAAGAUUGAAACCUUGGGCAUGGGAAGUCACAAUAGUGCUAGAUAGAUCGCAAGGCCUAAAGCUUGCCUCUGAUGGACGAUGAUUUUAUUUUAUUUUAUAUAUAUAUAUAUUUUAAUUUUAAAUUUAUAUUUUUAAUCAGCCUCUGGUGGAUGCACUGUGUGCAAACUUCUUUUCAGACUUUUAAUUCUAGUUUUAUAAGCAUCCAAAAGAAUGUAUAGAGUUUGUAAGCUUAACUUAAUCUUGAUUUCCUCAUUUGUGAAAUAUUGUUCAUUUUUAUUUAUUAUUACUAUUGCUGUCUAACGAUUCUAUUCUAACAUUGUUUCCAUACAGAUCGACAAAGGUUAUAUGUCACCCCACUUUAUCACAAACCAGGACAAAUCUAUUGUGGAGUUCGAGAAUGCUAAAGUUCUUGUAACUGAUCAAAAGAUUUCAACCAUCAAAGGAAUAGUUCCUUUACUGGAAAAGACUACCCAACUGAGUGUCCCACUGCUAAUCAUUGCUGAGGACAUCUCAAGUCAAGUACUUGAAACACUGGUUGUGAACAAAAUGCAAGGAAUAAUUAAUGUUGCUGUGGUCAAAUGUCCAGGAUUUGGAGAAGGAAAGAAAGCUUUAUUGCAAGAUAUAGCCCUUUUGACAGGUGGCUUACUAAUGCAUUGCAAUCUUAAUUUGUCAAUUUGGUUGGCUUUUUGUUUUUUUGUUUGUUUGUUUUUCCUUUUUUUUUUUAAUAUAAAACUGAUAUUGAGUAACGGGAUUGUCUUCUUCACCCUAAAAAUCUCAUGUGUGUGUGUGUGCGUGCACACAUGUCUUGAUGAGUUAUAUUUGAUUUCAAAGGCUACUUUGAUAACCAGAAAAUUCUAUGAUAAUGACAAAGGUUUUAUUAUCACUUGAUAUGAACUUCAAAAUAUUUUGCAGUAGCUCUGAUUGUGCAUCUGUCUUGUGAAUUUAUAUUUUGGUUUCAAAGAACACUUGGAUAACAAAGAAAGUCUAUGAUAAUGACCCAGGUCUUAUUAUCACUUGAAGAUAUUAUUUUCCUUUUCCUUCCUGAAGGUUGUGAAAGAAAUAGUUUCCUCUCCCAGUGCAAGGAUUGUUGAGUUGAAAUCCGUUGCCAUUGUUUAAGUAACAUCCAUAAAGAAUACUCAUCUAACAGACCAUGCAUGUAAAUGCCAUUAAAUGGUUUAUCUGGAUCACAUGUUAAAAAAAUGCUAUUGUAAACAUCCCUGAAAUCUUAAUGAUUAAUGGUUUAGAAAUAUGAGCACAACCAUAUGCUUGCUUUUGAAAACCAUAUGGUAUUCUUUUAUCAUGCGAUGUGGUACUUCCACAUAAUCUAACUAUAUAUGCACUAUGCAUUCUUAUUGACACCAUUGUAAUGUAAUUAGGUGCUGAUUUCCUCUCUGGAGAUUUGGGACUGACUCUUGACAGUGCAACGUCAGAUCAGCUUGGCAUUGCAAGAAAAGUAACCAUAACAAGCAAUUCAACAACCUUUGUUGCUGAUCCUUCAACUAAACCUGAAAUACAGGCAAGAAUUUUGCAGAUAAAGAAAGAUCUCGCUGAAACUGAUAGUUCGUAUCUUUCAAGGAAGCUCUCUGAAAGGAUUGCUAAACUCUCUGGUGGUGUGGCCAUAAUCAAGGUCUGCUAUACUUAAACCUAUACGGCAGAGAGAACUUAAUGCAUUAACUGUGUGAUGUAAUUUCUGCUGCAACCUUGAGUUGGCUUGAGUAAUUUUUCUUUAGUUCAUGCAAGACUUUUGAGCUGUAAAGAAGGUUUCAUAUUUUAUCUGCCUACAUUUCAAAUCAGGUAGAGAUUAAGACAAAAUCCAAACUCUUUGUAGGGUUUUUGAGAUUUCGUUUAGAAUACUGGAAAUUUUAAUUUGAACUUGGUCAAAAUUUUGAAAUGUUGAAGUUUUUGAAUGGCUCAAAGUUUAGACGGAAUAUCAUACUUGAAACUUUGUCAAAUUUACCAGACAUGGUGGCCUUAAGGCUAUGUUCGGUUGCCGGAAAGUUCGAGGAAAAGAAAAUGGAGAGGAAAAAUAUAGGGAAAGAAAGUAAAGAAAAUAUUGAAAUCUUUUUCUUGUUUGGUUUUCUAUAGAAAAGUUGAAAGAAAGAAAAUUAAAUUAUUGAGGAAUGUUAUUUCUCCAAACUUUCCUCACCUUUAUCUUAGGAAAAUGGGAAGGAAAAUCUUUUAACAUUUUUCCUCCUCUUUUUCCAUAGUUUUUUUUUCCUUACCUUUUUUCAUGACAUCCAAAAAUAAGAAUAUUAUUUUCCUUAAUUUUUUCCCUUAGUAUUUUCGGGAAACCAAACAUAGCCUAAAUGUUGCCAUAUUAUUCGAGUGAAGUAGAUCAACAUGGAAGUAAGACGCUUAACACAAUGUGUUGAAGUGAUUAUCAGAAGGAUGACUGGUAGCUAUAUAUUAUAAAGAUACAUAAUAAAUAAGUGACUUGAAUUUGAAGUGUGGAUCUUUAACCACACGAUAUCUCUUUUACAUUGCUAAGCAGAGUGUGUGGAUUUAGGUAGGAGCACAUACAGAGACGGAACUCGAAGAUCGGAAACUCAGAAUUGAGGAUGCAAAGAAUGCAACGUUUGCUGCCAUGGAUGAAGGUAUAGUACCUGGUGGUGGGGCUACCUAUAUUCAUCUGGAAGAACAGAUACCCAUCAUAAAGCACUCCAUGGAAGAUCCGGACGAGCAGAUUGGUGCUGACAUUGUGGCAAAGGUAUGUUGUCAUUUUCCUUUUUCCUUUUUCCUUUUCCUGGAUUAUAUUUUCUACAUUUGUCCAUUCCUACUCCAAUAAGCAAAAUACUAUCCCAACUGAUUGGCGUCUUCUAAUCAAAUCCACCAUCCAUUGUCUUAUUUAGGGUUGUUUCUUUGGUUAAUUCAUUUGCCAUUUGGUCCCUUACUGGAUCUUUAAUUGCAUAGCAUCGUCAAUUUUGUUCAUCAUCCUUUUCCUCCUAUCGAAUGCUUACAAGUCACGAUAUCUGGUCAGGAAUGGUUUGAGGACAACUAAAACACCGAAUAAAUGAUUUGUGCUAGGUUAAACUUCACCGCCCGGAAUUGAUAUUUCUUCUUUCCAUUGUUAAAUCCCAUUGUUUCCACCAGCUAUGGGAUUGAAGUUGAUUUGUUGCAAGUGUUCCAGGUGAAAUAAGUAUGCAUGAAUGUUUUUAUUUGAAAUGAAAAAGGAACCCCGAGAUUUCAUCAAACACCGACGUUUUGUUAGAUAACAAAGUUGUUGAGAUUAUACUAUCAUAUUUGAGAUGGCUUAACCAGCCCAGUUACCCCAAACGGUCUUGUGCAAAUGUAUGGCUUUAGUGUUUAGACAUUUCAUCAUCUUUUUCACAUCUAAAACCCUGGUUGGUCGAGUUUCAGGCACUUGCUGCACCAGCCAAAGCAAUUGCAACUAAUGCAGGAGUUGAUGGAGCUGUUGUCAUAGAGAAGAUCCGGACUUGUGACUGGAGAACAGGGUAUGAUGCAAUGACGGGUAGAUACCAAGAUCUUCUCAAUGCUGGAGUGGUUGAUCCCUGUCGGGUCUCAAGGUGUGCCCUUCAAAAUGCAGUAUCUGUUGCUGGCAUUGUUCUAACAACCCAAGCUGUAUUGGUGGAGAAAACAAAGCCGCCCAAGUCAGCAGUUCCUCGUCUCCCUGGAAUAACUCCUUAAACAGCAGAGUAGAAGAACAAGAAGCAGAAAUUCAUGGAGAGCCAGACCAGAGCUGAGAAGGUAGCCCCCCAACUAAGCUACAUGCUUUUCAUUUGACUGAAUUUUUGCCUUGUCAAGUUAGCUUCAUUUGGAGUGAAAAUCAGGGCAAGCAAGACAAUGAAGAAACAAAGCCAAGUAAGUCCACAUUGUCUUCCAUGGAACAGAACCCUCCAACUUCAAGUGGCUUGAUUUGGAGUUAAAGACGAAGCUGAGGAAAACCCCAUGGAAUUCAGGUUUUUUUAUCGGAAUACCCUGAUUGAGAGGAAUAAUGGAAUGCCAUUUUUUGAUGAAAGAUUGUGUUUGUGUUUGGUACUUGUCUCACUGAACAUAUGAUCAAUGGGCAAUCAUUCUCUGAAAUGUUGUUCACUUUUUGAAUAUAUGAUAAAUGACAUGUCAUUAGGGUUUAUUCAUAUUUGUGAGUUUGUAAUGUUAACACUAUAAGCUCUAUUGGGCAGCCUGCCGCAGGUCAGCUGGUCAAAGCUCAAAAGGCUCAAGCUCUUUCUACAAGUGUUUUGGAAAAUUUUGCUGUUGUUGUAUCGCGGUUUACAUACUGUAUUGAAUUAAGAGUUCGUUUGAAAAUGUUUUUUAAAAAUAUUAACAAAUUAAAAAAGAACUUUUAUAAAUAUUAGGUUUGUUCCAUGUGCAAGGCACAUGAACUACUAACUAAUAGCGUAUAUUUUUAUAUUUAAAUUCGGUUUUAAUAAUUUUCAUUUAUUUUAUGAUUGUGUUUUAAUUUAUUUUAUUUUAAAAUAUUUAUAUUUAUUAAAUGAUUAUAUUAUUAGUUAAAAUCAUAUUUGUAUUCUUCGAGAGAAGAUUAAAUUUUAUUCAUUCUUUUGAAAAGAAAUAAUCUUUCAAAUUGUAAUAUAAUAAUAUACAAUCUAAAUCAAAAUUGCAAAUAAGUUUUAUAAUAAAUUAAUAAAUUAUUUAUUUAUUUUUAGUAAUAUUUUAAUUUUGUUCAAAACUGAAAUUAAGUCUUAUUAUAAUUUAAUAAAUUUAUUAUUUAUUUUCUAUAUUUCUUCUUAUUCUUAUUUUUUUCCUUUCUUUAUUAGUAAAUUCAAAUAUAAACUCAAAUACAUAAUAAUUGUUUAAAAAUAUUGAAAUUAGAAGGAUUAUGACAUCUUCAUUCAUAGGUUCUAGUAUUAGUAUUUUGAAUAAAAAAAUUAAUAUUAAAUAGAAAAUAAUUAAUUAUUUUUAUUAACUUAAUUAAUAAUCAAUAAUAUAAUUAUACUUAAUUUAAUUUAUUCUUUAUUAUUUAAUGGACAAGCAUAUUUGUUGAAGUUUGAAAACUAAAAUAAUAAUCUUAUUUAAACAAAAUUUCCAACUCUUAUAAAAUUUAAAAAAAUAUAUAUAUAUAUAUAUAUAUAAUUUUAUUUUAAAAUGUAUGAAAUAAAAGUGAAAAUUUCUAUAAAUAUUGAAAAAAAAAAACUUAGUUUUGUAACCCAUAUUACAAUUAGAAAAUAUAAUUUUCCUAGCCGUUAGGUUUUUUUUAUUAAGAUUUUAUAUUGAUGGGUGUCUUUUUAUGGGGAGCGGUCUCGGUUGAGAAGACUCGGGUUGGGUAGAUGGGUAUCGGAUCGAGUUGAAAAGAAUUCGGGCCAACUCCAAAACCCUAACCCGGGUCCCAGCCUUGGUUCCUCUGGGGUGUUCCAGAAAGCAACCUUUGUUUAUUUAUUUUUCUUUUUGCUUGAUUCCUUGAUUGUUUCGUUGAUUUUGGUCCAAAAUUGAAGCAGAAUGGAAAAAUCAGGAGAGCAAAUGGUGGAUGUGAGGUCGGUGGUCGAAGCCAUUUCGACUGAUAAUGAAGAUGCACCUUUGUACCAGGUUGAGAGCCUCUGCAUGCGCUGCACCCAAAACGUAUGUGCUUUCUUUUUUCUCAUUCUCUCUGUAUAUUAUUUGUUUAGUUUCUUUUUUGGUAUCAGUCUGUAAAAGUUGUGGAUAAAUGCUAAAGAAGAUGACUUGUUUGCUAGUUUUUUCUGAAACCCAACUUGUUUAUUGUUAACAGGGAACAACAAGGUUUUUGUUUACUGAAAUUCCACACUUCAGAAAGGUGCGUCCCUCAAUUUGCCUCCUUAUGAUUUUUUUUUUCUUUUAUUUUCUGUACAAGGGUUUCUAAAAGAAGCGCACUUUUGGGCUUUUAUGACUGUGUUUCUUUAAGCUGUGAAGUAAGUUUAGUUUUUAUUCUCUGGUCCUGAAAUUCUCUUUGCAGAUAUUGUUGUCAGCCUUUGAAUGCCCACAUUGUGGUGAGAGGUAAACUAAAAUUUUCAUUAAGGCUGUGAGGGUUUCAAAUUAUAUAGAUCAAUUGAAAUUUGGCCUUUUAUAAGAGAUUUAAUCUAUUGUUGUUGUUUUUCCCUCAGGAACAAUGAAGUUCAGUUUGCUGGUGAAUUACAACCCAGAGGGUGUUCUUACAGUCUGCAUUUUUCAGCGGGUGAUCAGAAGGUUGUGUCAGCUUGAAUGAAAUAUCUAUGAGAUGUUAUUCCACGGUUAUGUUCAUUUGUAUAAAGAUCUUUGAGAUGUUUAUGAGUGUCUAUGCAUUUAUAUGUAAAUUAACUUGGUUCUCUCUCUCUUGCUCUCUCCCCUAUCCCUGCCUUUCUUAUUGUUAACCAUCUUUGUUAUUGUUGUCCUUCUUCACCCACUGUUGGAAUCUUUAAUUCACAUUUGCUCAUCUCUUCUCAAUGACACUUAAUCAAUAAGCAUUCCCUUAUUUUAUUGCCCCUCAGUGCUUUUUCUUUUGUGCAAGUAACUUUAUUUGUUUCUAGUCUUUUACACAAGAAGCUCUUGAAAACUCAUCUUUCUUUCAUUGGUUCUGUUUAAUUUUCAUCAUGGAGCAGACUUGCAUUUUUCUUUUUAUUGAGCUUUUUUUGCAUAAGAGCUUGUUUUCCUCUACUCUAAUGUGCAUGUGAAUUAUUUUGAGUUUUUUUUUUUCUCUCUCUCUCUUUCUGUGGUGUAUUUGUUUUUCAUAGCUGGUGAAGAACAAUAUGUUUUAUUUAGAUAUGAGUGUUAGACUAAUGGGUUUCUGCAAUACAGAUGCUCAACCGACAGGUAGUGAAAUCAGAAUCUGCCACUAUCAAGGUACUUUGUAGUUUUUCCUGCUUACUUUGAAAAAUGAGUUCUCAUGCUUUUUUAACAGUUAUCAUAUGUUACAAGUUUUAAAACUUCUUUUCUUGUAUUGGAAUUUUAAUUCCUGUUGUUUUUAGUUUCAUAUUAAAUGAACUAACCAGCACUGGCAUAGUGAGUUAGAAUUUAGGAUACUGAUGAGAACGUAGGAGACCGUGCCUCCUUGAGAAUCUGAAGGUGAGGUGAUAAACUGACAUAUUCCAAUGUUUACAUGGAUUCUGAUCUUUCCUUCUUCCUUGCAUCAGUACCCCUGGUAGAUUGCCAUUAAUUGUAAGAGUACAAAACCAUCAGAACCGAGUAUUUUCUAUUUAUGUUUGAUUGCUCCUGUGCUUCAGCAGUUUUCCUUUACAUAAGGACUCAUGGUUGCUAGGGUUUUUUCAAUGACAAAGUAGGGGAUAAAUUUUUCCUUCUGAACAUCACUAAACUUGGCUUGCUGGAGCAAAACCGUGACAUGUACUAGAUUGCAAUCCAGAUCCCAAAUCUCUAGUAUAAUACCGUUUUAUGGUUAGGCUCUAUUGUACAUGUUGAUGAAAUUUAGGCCUAAUAUUCCUUUUGACCAAUGUUUUAAAAGGCCAAAGGUGGACUUGAGGUGUUUUGCCUAAAUGAGGCAAGACAUAAGCCUCAAGUUGGAACAAGGCAUAAGCCUUAACUUAAACAAAAAGAAAUAAUAAAAGGAAACAGGAGUUUAAAAAAUGAAAAGUACUAUAAAAUCACUUAUCAAAACAAAAAAAAAACCUAAUAAAAUCAUAUGAAAUUUGAAUAAUAGGAAAUCAUACAAUUCAUAAUUAUCAAAUUAGUUGUUUGCCAUUGUUAGUAAUUUUUAAUUUUGUUGACGAGAGACAAAAGUUUUGAUGUAGUAUCAAUAGCCAAUGAAAUGGUGGAUCAACAAAGAUGGUCAGAAGAGGAUGGUGCAGUUUUUAAGAUUUAUUUUGAAAAGACUUAUGAUCAUGUGUUUUGAGGCUUUUUGGAUCAAGCAUUAGAAAGAAAGGGAUUCAGUACUAGAUGGAGGUCUUGGUUGAGGGGUUUCUUGUCUUUAACAAAUUUUGGGGUAACUUGAGAUUUUAGACAAGGAGAGAUCCUUUUUCAUUUUUUCCUUUACCAUUGUAACUAAUGUCUUAAGCAAGAUAAUGUUGAAAACAAAUGAGAGUGGUACCUUGGAAGGUUUCCUAGUAGGAUGGAGUAGAAGUAGAGUGUCACAUUUGCAGUUUGUAGAUGAUACCAUCUUUUCUUCAAGAGUUAGCAUGGAAGAUUUGUAAAACCUAAGCUAAUCUUGAUGGUUUUUAGGCAUAUUUCAGGACUUUAGAUUAAUUUAGAUGAGCAUUUUUUUCUAGUAUCAAUAUGAGCUAGGAUCGGAUUACUAGAUCGAGAAAAUAAAAGGAAUUUUCUUUGCUCAAGUUUUGAGGAGGGAAAAAAAGAUCAUCUCCUUAGUUGGAAUCUAGUGUGCAAGCCUAACAUGGAAAGGGGUUUAGGGUGGGAAGAUUUCAUUAGGGAAUAGAAUCCACUUAGAGAAGUGGGUUUGGAGGUUUUCUAGGGAAAAUGUUGUUCUUUGGCAUAAGAUAAUAUUGAGUAUGAAUAGGACACGCUUCAAUGGCUAUGGUGCCAACGUUCUAGUUAGGUGGACACAUCAAUGCCCUUAGAAGGCGAUUGCAUAGGUUUUAUAAGAUUUCUCUAGACAUACUCAUUUUGUGGUGGGUGAUGAGUCAAGGAUUCGUUUUUGGUAAGACUUGUUUGGGGGGGGAAUCAAUUUCUAUGCUCUCAAUUUUCAAAUCUUUCAAGAGUCAUGAUAGUUAGAAAUACUUCUAUUUCAUUUAUCCUUGGUAUCUCUUUUCAUUUUUCUUAGAUCAUUAACUUUUGUUGUAACCUUAUUGAUUUGAAAAUAAAGAACAACCUUGAAAGAUUUAUGUCCUUUCUCUCUCAGGCACUUGUCACUAUUUGUCCUUAACGUGAGAGUUUGGUCAUUGUCUUUUUUAGGCUUAUUUAUAGUGCAAUCUUGCCUUUUAGUUUGGUUCAAUCUAUAAACUCCUAUUCAUUUCUCUCUAGCUAAAUUUAUAUGGAAUUGUAAAAAUCUCAUCUAAGGUCAAGACCUUUGCAUGAUUAGUGGCUAAUAGGGUGAUACUAAUGACUUGUUAUAGGUGAGAAGAUCUUACUAAGCCCUUUGUUCUGAUUGUUUCAUUGUAUGUAUGGAGAGUGGAGAAUUAAUUGAUCAUAUUUUUUUUGGACUGUUUGAUGACUUUGGGGCCAUGGCGUAGGCUAUUUAGACUAGCAAGGAUAGAUUGGGUUCCUCCUAGGAGCAUAAGUGACAUGAUGACCAUUUCAUUUUAGGGUUUAGGGAGUAUGGUUAGAGGCAAAAUUCUAUAGCAAGUUGCUUGCCUCACUCUGAUUUAGAUAAGUAUGGUGGGAAAGAAAUUCAAGGAUUUUGUGGAUAGGUGGAGAACUAUAGAGUUGAUAUGGGAGGUAAUUUAUUUAUAUUCCUCCUUUUCGGCCUCAACAAUUAUUACUUUCAAAGGCAAUCUUCUCAAUGUUUUUUAGCUUAAUUGGAAUUUUGUGUGUCGAUCAAAAGGGUUAAAAUGACAAAGUGUGGAAGUGGAGCAAAAGCUUUGAUUUCUUUUUGUAGAUGUAUUGAUCUCUAUAAAGAGUAGAGUCACUUUUUCUUUGUUUAGUGGCAUGUGGUACUAUAUUGAAGUAUGUCUUGUUUGUAUGUUCUUUUGAUUAGAGUGUGUUUAUUUGGGAAGGAUUCUUCAUUCUUUACAUUUACUUUUAAAUCCUUAUCAAUUAAUAUUUUGUUUCUGAUAAAAAAAAAAAAAAGUUUCUAAUUUAGUUUCACUUUCUUUAUUUUAAAAUCCAACUCUCUCUCAUGCCUUCAUCAAAUAAUCUUAAGCACUACCGUUACUAUCACUAGUAGGAUCCUCUAAGGAAUCAUAAUAAUAUCCAAUUGCUUUUUUAUCCUCCUCAUCAAUGUUGAUGUCCACCUAUUCUACUUCUUUAUCGACCAAUUGCACUGGUCUUUUUCCUUUAUUUAUCAAUAAUAAGAUAAUAAUUAUAUAUGUACUCAGCCAUUAUAGUGGUCAACAAUUCCUUUAUUUUUUUCUUCUCAAUCAUUUUUUUCUAGCUAACUAAGUUCUUACUUUGUAAAAGGCUUAACCUUAGUUAUGGACCCAAUAACAAAACUUGUAAAUCUAUGCCCACAGCACAAACCAUUGAAUAUAGAGGUUUAAACCUCUUAUAAAGUACAUAUCAAAAGCCCAUAAAGGCCCUAAAUCAAUUAAAACCCUUUGCAUAUUUGAAGCUUAAGCCUUAAUAGCCUUAGGGCUAUACUUAAGGUUGUAAGUCACAAUGAAGUGAGGCUUAAGCCUUGAUGACCCUAUAUUGAGGCUACAACCCUCAAGGUUAAUUUGCAUAUCGUUGACUUGAGGCAAGUCUUGGGGCAUAAUCCUCAAUAGCUUUUUAAAACAUUGCUUUUGACAAAUUAUAUUGAAAAGGAGAUAGGAAAAGGUCCAUGUUCAAGGGAAGUAUAGAAAAGAGAGCUUUUAACUAAAAGGUGGCUACUAUUCCUCUUUUUAAACUAAUGGACUAAAAAUUGAAGAUGGGAAUUUUAUAAAUUGAAAUUGGAUUUUGGUUUCUUUCUUAUUGAUGCUUUGUAUUUAUUCAGGAUAAGAGUUGGGAAUUUUGAGAGUCCCAUUGGUUGGAGGCUGUUUGCCAAGUACAUGAUAGUUCCAUUUGCUGACUGUGAGAUGUUGGGUAAAAGCAGAUAAAAUAUAUUUGAAGAAUCGUUCGCAAAUGACCAAAAGAAAUAAAAGGAAAACCCAAAAGCAAGGCAAAUAAGCAUGAACAUGAAAAUGAAGGGACUGCUUAGCUUUAGUUUGGGGUUAAGAGCUUCAUUACAGAAUUUUGAUCUCAGGUUUGUCCUAUUUUUAUGGACAUUUUUUUGCAUUGAAAGAAUGCUUUCUCAGGAUUGCUAACCCAUUGUAUAAUUUUGUCAAGUCCUGUUGGAUUUUUUGGGAAGACUUGUGGAUGGGGAAUCAACCUUUGGCUUUGCAAUUUCCGAAACUUACCAGGUUUCAUCAGUUUGAAAUUCUUCUAUUUCCAUCUAUCCUUGGACUUUCUCUUCUUCUUUCUUAGAAUUUUAACUUUCAAUGAAACCUCACUAGUUUUAGAGAUAAAGGAUCUCGAAAGACUCAUGUCCAUUCUCAAUAGUAUUAACCCACUACCAUAAUCCCUAGAUGUGAGAGCUUGGUCUUUUGACCUUUUGGCUUAUUUUUGGUCAAAUCUUUUUUCCUAUCUUUAUCAAAUCAAUCUACUUCAGCUCUCGUCUCCUUCUAAUCUCAUUUGGAAAUCAAAAGGCCCAUCAAAGGUCAAGGCCUUUGCUUGGUUAGUAGCCAAUUAAUACCAAUGAUGUGCUUCAAGUAAGAAGACCUUUCAAAGCCCUUAGUCCAGAUUGUUGCACUCUAUGUAUGAGCCAUGGAGAAUCGAUAGAUCACCUUUUUUUGGACUGUUCAAUGACUAUAGAGUUGUGGUAUAAGUUUUUAAGACUGGCCAACUUGGUUUGGGUUCCUUUUAGAAGUGUAUGUGACAUAUUAACCAUUUCUUUUGGGGGUUGGGGAGCAUGGAUAGGGGCAAAGAUCUAUAGCACAAUGCUUAUCUUACUUGAUUCAAAUAGUAUAGCGGGAAAGAAAUGGAAGGAUCUUUGCGGACAUUGAAAAUGUUAUGGGGCAUAGUCUAUUUCUAUUCAUCAUUUUGGGCAUCUACUACUAUAGCUUUCAAAGGCAUUCCUCUCAACUUUAUUAACUCGAUUGAAUUUCGAUAUGUAGUUCAAGAGUGUCAAAAGAGUAAUGUUGAGAUGUUUUAAUGUCUCUUGAUUCUUUUUUCUUUUCCUUUUGUUUUGUUCAGGUUUGUCAUUAGGUAAGAAUUUCUCAUCCUUCUCAAUGUUACUUUGUUAAUGAAAAUGCUUUUGUUUCUGAUUAGAAAAAAAAUGUUCAUUCUUACAGGUGUUGUUCAUGUGUUUUUAAUCAAGAUUGAUUACCUGCUUCGCCUUUUAUUCUACUACAAUGAAUUCAAAGUCAUAUUGCUAAGGAACUCCUUUAAAUUUUAGUCAUGAGUAUGGUUCUUCAUUUUCUCUCAGCCUUUUAUGCAUAUAUGUGCAGAUUCCUGAAUUGGAUUUUGAGAUCCCUCCAGAGGCUCAGUGUGGAAGUCUAUCAACAGUAUUUCUUUUGCACCCUACUCAUAGUUCGAUUUUUUUCUUCACUGGUUGAACUCUAACUAGCUGCCUUUUGUGGAUGGAUGCUCCCACUUCUGGCUGCUUUGGUUAAUAUUCUUUACUCAUUCAUCACCUGGAUUUUAUGCAGGGUUAUUUCCCUAUUGCACUUCUUGAUUUUAUUUUUUUUUCAAUAAUUGAACUGUAACUGACUUCUCAAGUAAUAGAUAUAGUGCCAAUGUGGUCUCUGAGUUCAAGAGUACCAGUAUUAGUCUUUAAGAAUGCUAGUACAUCAUGCUUGAUUUACCAACACCUUGAGCAGCCAUAAACCUCUCAUAACUAUUUCGACCAUACAACUUGGUGAUCCAUAUCUCUUGUAUUUAUUUUAAUUGAAAGAAACUGCUUGAUGAAAUCAAUUUAAAAGUACAAGAAGGAUGAGCUAGAAAUUCGUUAUCUAACAAUUGUUUUUAUCUUCUAGAUCACAGUUUCUGUGCUUCUUGCAGAAUUAUGUGUUUCUACAGAUUUUUUGUCCUUUCUUUAUGCUAUCUUAAAUCUGUUUCCAAUUUUUAGGUGGAAGGAAUAUUGACAAAAGCCGUGGAUGAUUUACAGGCCCUUCAGGAAGAACGCAAGGUGCACUUCUAGAUUUGAAUGUAUGUUUCUAUUUGAUAUCAAAUGUUUUCUUUCUCAGCACCUAUAUAAUCUAUCUUAUAUGGUUUCUCAGAAAGUGGAUUCUCAGACUGCGGAAGCAAUAGAUCAGUUUUUGUUAAAAUUGAAGCCUUGUGCAACAGGAGAUUCAUCUUUCACCUUCAACCUGGAUGAUCCUGCUGGCAACAGCUUCAUUGAGAACCCGUAAGAGCAUUUUUUUUUUUUUUUAAUUGGAAGGGAAACUUUUGCCUUUUAACUUGUGCUGUCCCUUUUAGGUAUAUGGUUGAGAUAGAGUGUUAUUUAGUUUACUGAAUACUUAAGCAUUCCUCUAAAGCAGAAAAUUCGACAAGAGCUUUAAGGUUUUCUCUCUUUUUUGUGAUUCUCUUAGCUGAGAAAGACAAAUCAACCUUCUCUUGCUUGCAGUGUUAAUUACUUGUUAUGUGUGUAUAAGUUUCUCCUUCUUUUGUAAAUAUUGAAGUCAUUUUCCUUCUUUCAAAUUAAUUUUUAACCUGAUUUUGCUUGAUUAUAGUCUAAAGAGGAUUUGAUUAAAUUGGAAAUAGGUUUGCUCCAUCUCCGGAUCCAUCAUUAACUAUCAAGUUCUACAAGCGAAGCCCUGAGCAACAAGCAUCAUUGGGCUACCUUGUUGACUCAUCACAGUUGGGAGAGUCUUGUGAUGAGGAGUCAAUAAAAGAAGUAAAGAAUACAUCUGAUCAAAUGAAAAGAGAACCACAUGGAUCAAUUGGAGCCGCAGCCGGCCAUCGAGCUAUUGCUCAGGUUAAUAGUGCAGAGAUUGCUGAAAAUUUGUUUCGAUAUUCUACACCAGAAGAGGUAUGACAGUUGUUUUCAGUUAACAAAGGUUACAUGCUUUCUCCAUUUCCUUAUGACUUCAUGUAUUACACCUGUUGUGUUCUGUUUUUGUGUGACAGGUAAUGACUUUCCCAUCAACAUGUGGAGCUUGUGCUGCAAGAUGCGAGACCCGAAUGUUUGUCACCAGUAUACUUCUUAGCUUUUUUCCAUCUCCCUUGAGAUGUUGCAGCAUGUCAUGUUUAAACAGAUUGACAUGAAUGGUUAAAUUAGUUACCUUCUUUAACUUUCUUGAUAGUUUGCAGAGGUUUGUUUUGAUAUUGAAAAAAAAAAAACUAGUUUCCUCCUCUUUUUUUGAUCAAAAUUAAGCUAGAAUUCUUAUCCCCUAUUUGAGGGGGAAAAAAAACCUUGGCCAGUACUCUCUUUAUUAAUCAUACAUUUUUUUUAAUCUUUUUUUUUUUUUUUUUUGUAGGAAACAACAAUGAAUUAUAUUGAAAAAGGAUUUAAGAAGUACAAAUCCAUAUUUUUAAUCUUGUUAGCAUGGAAUUUAAUGUGGCAAAUAAGAAACUUUCUUUAAUGCUGUCUCUAGUGAUAACUAAUCAACUUACUUGCAGACAUUCCAUAUUUCCAAGAAGUAAUUGUUAUGGCUUCAUCUUGUGAUGGUUGUGGCUACCGAAAUUCCGAGGUUUGUCAUUUUGUGCUCAUAGUAAACAAAAUUAUUUUAUUAAUUGAAAAGUGGAAUUGCAAAAUAGCAAUCAGAAGGAUGGGGUUUCUUCAAGAAAAAGAAUCAAAAACCCAAAACCGAUGAACCCUUCUAUGACCUGAAUCCUUCUUUGCUUCUAUGUUUGUUAGAAGCUCAAAAUCCCCCAAUCUCAUGAUUGCCUAGCUAACAAUAUAAGAAGCCUGAAACCUAUCCAAAAAAAAGACCCCUGAAAUCCAAGCUUAGAGCCUAGCUCCCUACUCUAUAUCAUAUGCUUAUAAAUCUCUCCCUCUCUGUGCAGUUGAAGCCUGGUGGUCGAAUUCCUGUUAAAGGAAAGAAAAUUACUGUUUGUGUGAAGAAUGUUAAUGAUCUAAGCCGUGAUGUAAUAAAGGUUUGUUAUUAUUCUUUUAAAACUUCUUGUAUGUGCAAUGCAAUCAAAACCUGCCUUUGUUCACUUGUUUUUCACCUGGCGUUGGUCUGCAAUAGUGACCUCAUAUUAUAAUUUUGUUCUAAUUUCUUUUCUAUUUUCCUUUUUUAAACCUUGCAUGCAGCAGUGGCUUGUGAGAAUAUACCAAUUUUAUUAAUUUACAUCCUAUAAGCAAUUUUAAUUUGGUUCGUCCAGUGGGAGGGAAAUUUCAAUAGUAGUUAAUAAAUUUUCAGUCUAACACUAUCAUAAUGCAUGUACUCUUGUUGCAUCCUUUGUUUUCCUCCUGUGUACUUGGGGUGCACCCUCUGCUCUUUGCUUGACAUCUUUUAUGUGUAUUCUAGUUUACCUAUAAAAGAAAUGCAUGUACUUUUGUCCUGUAUUGAAUGAUAAAAAGCUAGAGGUAGUUGGUUUUGAAGCAGAGACCUCUCCGAAAACAAGUGAAAACAACUAAAAUAUGUUCUCGGAAAAUAUUUUAAGCUUUGUUUGGGAAGUGUUUUCAAAAAUAGUUCUGAAAACAGUUUUUGAAAAUUAUUCUCUAAAGUUUUGUAGAACAAAAGUAUGUUUGGAAACUUGAAAUAUUCUUUACUUGUUUUCUAUGUUUUUAAAUAUGCUUAAAGCCUUAAAAAUAACUUUUAUGUAUAGUACUUUAUUUUUAAUCAUUCUCCUUAUUUGUAUAAUUAUUUUUUAAAAUAGCUUUCAAAGAACCAGUGAAAACAAUUGAAAGCAACUAAAAGAUGUUAUCAGGAAACACUAUUUUUUUAUUUUUAAAAAACUGAAAUUUAUUUUCUUUUUUUGAUUGCUAAAGGUGUUUUUCUAUUUUAUUAUUCUGAAGAACACAAAAUUGUUUUCAAAAAUAGUUGCCAAACAAGGCCUUAUUUUAUGUUUUUAAGAGUGGAACACUGUUCCCUAUUUCCAGAUUGUCAAACAUGUUUUUCUGUUUUUUUGUUCUUAAAAAAAGAAAACUAUUUUUUUAGAACAGUUAACAAACAGACCCAUAUUCUUUGGUUUCUCUCUUUUAUGGUUGUUCAGUACUCACAUAACUUAUACUAUUCAUGAGGCAUUGUAGCAUUAUCUGACAGUAGCCAUGUGGACAUAUCAGUCAGAUACUGCAGGUGUGAGUGUCCCAGAGCUUGACUUGGAGCUGGCUAGUGGCACUUUGGGUGGAGUUGUUACAACUGUUGAAGGCUUGAUUACAAAAAUUUGUGAAAGUGAGUGUUUUUUCACUUUUGCAUUCCAUUUUGAUUCCUUUUUUCAUAUGCUAAACAUGAAAAUUUCCUUUGCCACACUCUCAAAUACGUUGUUGUUUAAGGCUCAAGGCACAUUGUGACGUGAGGGUCUUGAGUCUGAGGCAUGCACCUGGUUGAAAGAACUCCUGGUUGAGAAAUAUAGAACUAGUGUGCUUUAGACAAAACGCACACAGAAAGCAAAAACAGCCAUGGUGUUGAAUUAGCGAAAUUUUUUAUAAAAUUACAUUCAUGGAGUUUCUGAAGAACAGCAGAAUAGUUUUUGCAGUUUGAACAGGAAAUAGAUUUUCUUUUUCUUUUUUCCUUUUUAACAAAAGAAGGAAGUUGCCAUGGUUAUGGCAUGGCUGUAUAUAUGGGCUUGGAACCCAAUCGUUCAUGGGUAUGAAAACAGAGCAAAAGAAGACCUAGAGAGGGUACCUUAACUGCUGGUGUUGUUCAGUGAUAGAAGAAUUUAUUAAGGGGCAGCUUUAUGUGACAGUGAACUAUCUUUCCUAGUGGUUUCUUGUGUUUUAUAGACUCCAACAAAAGCAAGUUCAAGAGAGGCAAAACCUUUUUUUUUUUAUAAGUAAAUGCAAUUGUAUUAAGAAAGCCAAAAAAAUACACCUAAAAGUAUGUAUGAUGUAUAUAAGGCUAAAAGGCUAAAAAAGAGAAGGAAUUCUAAAUUCACAUAGUUGUGCGUCCUUGGUUGAAAGGUCAUUCUUCCUCUUCCCAUGUCAUUAGGUUCACCUGAUUUUAGGCUUUAAUUUAGGCUGUAUGGCUCCUUAUCAUGGAUUAAGGUCCAUUGGAUCAUGACUGAAAAAGGAAAAAUGGAUAAUGUCUUGUGGAACUGACUAAUUUCCAUUAAGUAGCUAUUUCUUUUAAAUGUUUGAUGAGAUAGUCCAACCGAUUGGUAUGACUGCUUAAGAAUGUAAUCUGUACAUGUUGUAGUUCAUUUUAUAAAUUUUCUUAUAUGUGCAUUUGUGUUCUUUUGUAAUAUUGUGCAUUUUUUUUUAUGUGCAUUAGUGUUUUUUUUUUUUUUUUUGUAAUAUUGUGCAUUUUUUUGUAAUAAAUAAAUUUUAUUUCAUGUGUAUGCUCAAUGAUUAAUUAUACAAAAGAUUUUAUGAAGUAUUAUUAUUGUUAAAGUUGAAGAAUUUUUAAUGUUCCACUGUUGAACCAGGUUGGUUCCUCAAAAGAAUUUUUAAUUAUUAGAGGCUAUUAAUUUAUGAGAUAUUGAUUGUUGAUAGUCCUUUGCACAUCAAACAUAUUCCUGGACAUGCAGUGGUGCACACAACACAAUUCUGUAUUUAGUUUAUUCUAUUUUAAAAUUGGGUCAUGUAAGUGGAUUUUAUCGUCUUGACAUAUUAUACAAACACAAAGAAAAACGAUCAAUCAUAACCUUUUUGAUUUACUUGUGUAGACCUUGAGAGAGUACACGGAUUUACUUUUGGGGACAGUCUCGAUGAUUCUAAAAGAAGCAAAUGGCAAGAUUUCAGAAUGAGGCUAAGCAAGGUACUGUUUGACAAUAGCCCCAAUUUGAAAAUCAGCGUGCGGGCACAUUGUUUAUCAAGUUCUGUGAGAACCUUCCGGUUCAAACAAUUAUUUUGUGUGUUUUUCUAAUUUGAUUUCCAUUGCUUUUGGGGAUCUGAAAAUUUUUUAUAAGAUAUACUUUGUCAUUGUUUAAACUAUUGAUGAUUGAAAUGGAGGACUUGGAAACCAUUUAUUGAUAAAUGGAGGUGGUUUUUUCCCCCCCUUGUCUCCCCUUGAUGCAAGUUUAAUGAGGUUUUAGGUUUUAACAAAUGGAGGUUAUUUUGUUUCAUAAAUCUUCAUUUUCUCAUGAUGCAAGUUCUAAUGUUAUGCAGCUUCUGAGUCUGGAAGAGCCUUGGACUUUAAUCAUUGAUGACGCACUAGCAAAUUCUUUUGUUGCACCAACCACUGAUGAUAUCAAAGAUGACCAUCAGUUAACGUGUAAGUUCUCUUCCUGCCAGUCUGAGGCAAGUUUGAUUUUGAAAUGUACUUCAUUUUUAAUGAAAAGACUGAUAAUUUUUAAACCAUUGAGGUAUCUAGGGGUGGGUAAAGCUGUGCUCCGAAUAAGGAAUUAUUUUAUUUUAUUUGUUUAUUUCAGGUUUUUGCACCACUGUCCAAACAAAGGCCAUUCGUAGAUGGCUUUUGCAUUCAUGAUACAGUGAUUGCAAAAAUUUGAAAUAUAAAUAAGAAAGGGCAGGCACUCUGGAGGGUCAGAAUGCUCCUUCAUUCAUGUUAGAUUCCACUGCUUCACCACCCCUCCAGAGUUGGGCAUUUCUAGUUAUCUUGGCCAUCCAUUCAACUGGAUGCCUGCUUUAGGCAUGUUCUAAAAUUUUCUGACAUUUUCUUCUGUACACUACCUCUUAGGGCAAAGAAUUCCAGCAAGUUUGGAAUUUAAGUUACUUGGAUGCUUUUCUUGCUUUCAAAAGUCAGAAUUGUAAUGAGGUGCUUGGUGUUAAUUUGUUUUCUUGCUUCUAUACUUGAUUGAUCCUAAAUAAUCUUGUAGAAUGGGUAGGGUACAACUGUGAUCUGUUGGAUUAUAACAAAGAUAGAUGUCAGUAAACAUGGAAGGCCAGAAUAUACACAUUAAGAACGCCUUGAAAGAUGUUUUACUUUGAACCAUGUGACGAAAACAUAUUCAGUUUUCAGACACUUGCAUCAAUUAUGAUCCAGAAAUUCAUAUAAAUCAUUUUAGCAUCGAAUCAUUUAGCAUAUAAAACUUAAGAAUUAGGGUCAUCCACUUGGUCACUCAGUUCCUUCACCAUUUGGCUAUUUUCGUACCCAGUUUCUCCCACCAGUUCUGCAUUAGAUUGCCUCUAUUAAAACAUCAUUCACUCUAGUAUCCAGUUAUUACUAUUUUUUCUUUUGUUGUGAUAAUACUGUAUUGUCACCAUCUCCAGUUGAGGAAUACGAGAGGUCAUGGGAGCAGAAUGAGGAGCUGGGUCUUAAUGAUAUGGACACUUCUUCAGCAGAUGCCGCAUACAACUGAUGGGUAUUGAGUGUUAUAGGAGAAGACAAAUGGCUAAUCUCUUCCUUUGUUGUGAUGAUACUGUAUUGUCACCAUCUCCAGUUGAGGAAUACGAGAGGUCGUGGGAGCAGAAUGAGGAGCUGGGUCUUAACGAUAUGGACACUUCUUCAGCAGAUGCCGGAUACAACUGAUGGGUACUGAGUGUAAUAGGAGAAGACAAAUGGCUAAUCUCUUUUUCUUUUUCUUUUUCUUCUGGAAGGGAAAUGUAUCUUCUAGUUUAACCCCAUGCAGCAUUUCAAAUUGUUUGUGUUAUGGUUUUGAUUUCAAAAAGUAAAAUCUUAGCAAUCAAUGUACUAUUAAUCUUAUCACAUCAUCUGGUGUUGGAUAUGACUGGAAAAAAUUGCCAUCUGCUCAGUAGAUUUCAGGACACUGUAUAAUGGACUAGUUGGAAGAAUCACAUUGAUUAUUUUUCUUAAAUUCUAUAAUGCUUUUUACUUAUAAUUUUAGAUCCCAUUUGGGUUGGAUUAUGAGAGACUGAAAUUUAAUGAAGUCAUUAUUUUUGGACACCAUUUGGAUUGGAUUGAGGAUGUGAUUAUGUAAUUUUACAAAAGUCAAAUAAUGUUAGCUUCUUUUCAGCUUAUUGGGGAAGUUAACUCUCAAUAUUUUCUCUUUGAAGAGGGUAUUAAUUUGCUUCUGCAUGUCCUUAAAGCACAAAUAAGAAACUAUUUACUAAGCAUAUGGGAGGUUCUUAAGGGUUGGUUUGAUACAAUUUGUGGAAACAGUUUUUAAAAUUAAAAUUUUGAGGAUAUUUCUUAAAUUUGUUCUAAAGUCUGUCAUAUUUUUAAAUAUUUUCUCAAAAAUUAAAUUAUUUUUUUAAGUUAUUAAAUUAUAUAAAGUCUUUAAAUUAUUUUAGUAAAAUAAUUUUUAGUUUUAUAUUAUAAUAUUAGAUUAUUUUAUUAAAUAUAAUUAAUGUAAUAAUUUAAACUAAAUCAUUAUAUCACUAAAAAUGUUGUAUAAAAUAUUAUUUAAUUACAUAAAAAAAUAAUAUCUAGCGAUAAUACUUAUUAAUUUGGCUAGACUCUCUGGAAUGUGCUGUAUUUUUUAAAAUUUUAAAAUAUACAAAAAAAUAUUAUUUAUACAUAUUUUUAUUUUAUUUUUCCUGAUACUUUUGCUUAUGGCAAAUGGGAAACAGCUUAAAUAUUAAAGAGGUGGGCAGGGGAGAAGGGAGGAUGAUUGGAUCAAUUGAUUUGAGAAAAGUGUUAACUGUAAGUACAAUCAGAUUUCAAAAUUUGAUGGUCUGACAAUAAGUAGAGAGAGAGAGAGAGAGAGUUGAGAACUUAAAGAGUCAACAGAAGUAUAACUCAAGAACAAGUGACGGCACAGGUGAAACAGAACAUAGAGAGAGAGAUGGAGAGCAGUGAAGAAGAAGACGAUUUGGACUACCCAAUCAAUGAUGGCAUCACUCCCCAAUCCAAGAUUGACUCCAUCUAUCAGUCCAAUACCGAAAAGGUAUUCCCUUUUCCCCAUGUCUGGUUCAGGAGAAAAUCGCUAGGAAAAUGGGAGAAAUUUUUGACCCACUUUUCAAUCCCACUUCCAUAGGGUCCUCCCUUUUCCGGCCCGUCUUUGUUUGCGGAGAAAGUGGGGGGACAACAAGGAAAAGCAUUUGAAAAAAAAACAAAAAAUCCUCUCUUUUCUCCGCAAUCGAAAGUGUUUUCCCCAAAAUUUCUUGGUCUUGGAGUGUGAAAUACCUAAGUGCUCUGUUUAAAGUUCGGUAAAUGGAACAUUUUUCUGUUUUCCUAUCUGGGUUUCGUUGUUCCUGCAUUUAUCUGCGUAUCUUUAAUGGGCUGUCUUUGUAAGAGUUUGCACCACUUUGAGUUCAAUCUAUGUGAGGGAUUUGUUUAUGGCCCUAUGGGUGGCAUUGUUGGAAAUGAUAGAAACGUAGAACUCACUUCAAUAAUGGAAAAGGGGAUACAAUCAAGGAGGAAAACAAAGGUCCCUUACAGUACUUAGAGUAUGUUGCUUGAUUUUUCUACAAAGAGAAAAAUCCUAACCUCAUUUGCCCAUCUAAAUUCCACAUUCUUUAUUCUUGCUAUAGCAGCAACCUCCGUAAUAGAUAGACAUAUCUCCAUGAGCUCGGCUUUGAGGUCAGUAAUGUUAGCUAAAAUCUUCAACAAGCAAUCAAAGAUUGGCCUUGAUAACUUGUCAAUCUCCUUGGUUAAAGCACACCUGCAUCACCCCGGCAUAUCAUAAUUUUGUUUACUUUUAUGCCCUUCCAGGAAUUGUUGUAACAGUUUUUAAUUAUGUUUUGUUGUGUUAUGGGAGAUAGUUACAUUUCCAUUUAUUAUAAAUAAAAUUUUGUUUGUGUAGGGAAUCAGAAAGCUUUGUUGUGAGCUCUUAGUUUUGAAGGAUGCGGUGGAAAACUUACGUGGGAAUAUGCGUACUAAGUACUUGGCUUUCCUGAGGUAACAAAAUGCAUAGUUUUUAUGUUCAUGCUGAAUUAUAUGAAACGGUUUUAGUGAGUAUUAGAUGAUUUCCCUUUUUCUUCUUGGGCAACAUCAUGGAAUAGCACUUGUUGCUUGUACCUUAUCAAACCAAGGGACAUUAAUUUCUUGUUUGAUAUCUUCUAGCAAUUUCACCUGUUAAAAAUUUAACUAAGUUCUCACCUUUGCCUUUCUUGCUAUUCCUUGAAAUUAUAUAGCAGCAAUUUGAAAGAAGAUAGAAAUUAUCUAGCAGUCAUUAGAAGUCAUAACUUCCUUGAAGCUGCUUCUACCCUGGAUAGGAGACUUCCAGUAUGAGAUAUCUUUUGAGGAAUUGAAUACUUACAUUCCAUAUUGGCCCAGGCCUGAGCUCAAAUUCAUUUGCUUGUGCGAGAAAAAAAUGCAUGUCUUGAUCAAUGAGACUUAUCUAUGAUUUAUAACUUGUCAUUGCAGCUCUACAUUUCCAAUUAUUAAUGAAUUUUCAAACUUUUUCCCUCCCAAUGCUAUGCUUAUAAUUGCCUUUUGCUUCUUUAAUUCCAGUUAUAGAUCACUUGAAUUUCAGUUAUUUGGUUCAUUAAUUAAUGAUUCUGAUCCAUAUGUCUAUACUAUUGAUUAUAUUAUAAUGGUAGGAUAUCUGAUGAAGUUGUUGAAAUGGAGCAUGAGUUAAUUGAGCUGCAAAAGCAUAUUUCUGCACAAGGGAUUCUUGUGCAGGAUUUGAUGAGUGGUGUGUGCCGUGAAUUGGAAGAGUGGAACAAAGCUAAUGGUGAUAUUCAUGAAGCUCAACAAGAUCCUCAAAUUGGUGAACUUCAAGAUCCUUUUCCAAAUAACAUAGUUGAUGCCAAGACAAUAUUCUUGGAGAAAAUUGAUGUUCUCUUGGCUGAACAUAAAGUGGAAGAAGCAAUAGAGGCUUUAGAUGCGGAAGAGAGAAAUUCUCCAGACUUGAAAAGCUCGGGAGAUACUUCACCUACUGAAGCAUCUUCUUACAGGUCUGCUUUCUUGAAAAGAAAGGCAAUGCUUGAGGAUCAGCUAGUUGAGAUCACUGAACAACCUUUAGUUGGUACCCUGGAACUGAAGAAGGCUCUAUCUGGUUUGAUAAAACUGGGAAAAGGUCCUUUGGCACAUCAGCUACUUCUAAAAUCAUAUGGUUCACGCCUCCAAAAGAGCAUUGAGGCUUUUCUUCCUGCAUGUUCUAGCUGCCCCAAAACAUAUUCAGCCACCUUAUCUAAGCUUGUAUUUUCUCUGAUCUCAUUGACAACAAAAGAAUCAGGUUCAAUAUUUGGUGAUGAUCCCGCUUAUACCAACAGAAUUGUUCAGUGGGCAGAGUGGGAAAUUGAAUCUUUUGUACGACUAGUGAAGGAGAAUGCACCCCCUUCAGAGUCCAUUUCUGCUCUACGUGCAGCUAGCAUUUGCAUUCAGGCUAGUCUGAGCCACUGCUCACUGUUGGAAUCACAAGGCCUGAAACUCUCAAAGUUGCUUAUGGUGCUCUUGCGGCCAUAUAUUGAAGAAGUUUUGGAGUUAAAUUUUAGACGGGCUAGAAGAGUGAUUCUUGACUUGGAUGCAAUUGAUGAAAGCUUCCCAUUGUCACCCUGCUUUGCAUCUCCAUUGUCUGCUUUUGCAACAUCAUCAGAUACCAUGCUCAUUGACAGCGGAAUCAGGUUUAUGUACAAUGUCAAUGUAAGCUAAUCUUUUCUUUAUGAUUUAGCUAUCACUAAACAGUAAAUUUGAAUCUCAAUAGUGAAACCACCAUAAGCACCUUAUCUUUUGAGACAUGGUUUUCAAAUGAAAAAUCAAGAUAUAGUGUUUGAUGGGCCCCAAAUAAGUGAUUUCACUGGAAGCAUUAGCAUACUGGAUGACUUAAGACCAUUUGAUUUAAUUUUGUUACUCCAAGCAUGCAUUUUUUUUAAUCUAUGAAAGAUGUGUCAAUUUUUUUUUUUGGGGCAAAUUCAAACUCAUUGAAUCAUUUUGUAAGGAUUCUUUGUGUUGACAAUAUCUUAACUGAAAUGUAAAGCUAGCAACAUGACAUGGAUUACAGGACUUGGCUCAGGUUAGAAUAUGCUCAUCACAGACCUGCAUUUUCAAAUUGUAUCAAAUCGGCUAGAAAUUUUUUAAAAUAUUUUGAAAUUAAAGCUUUAGUUUCAAAAUUAUAGAAGAUAGCAAUAUAAUAUUAAUUAUUUAUUUAAACAAUUUAAAAUUAAUCGGUUAUAAUUAACUAAUUCUAUUGAAGUUUGGGUGGUUGGAAAAGCCAAGUCUGGACCUAACCUGUGUAAAUUUGGAUUGGUCUUGGGUUGAACCCAAAAAGAUUCCAUUGGGUUCAUAAAAUACCAACCUGUUCUUGUUAAUUUUAGGCAGAUUGGUGGCUCUAGUUGGAAAUUGCUAUGCUAGUAAAAUUUGUCUUGCACUCUCACUAGUAUGUAUGUACCUAUAUGGACCUGCUACCCAUCCAUAAACAAAAAAGUACACUUGUACACAGGCAAACACACAGAUAUAUAGGUACCUAGAUAUGCAUACAUGGAUGUGUGUGUGCGCACACACACACACACACACACACUCUCAUGCAAAUGUGCUCUCCUAUGUGGAUAUGAUUAUUUUGAAUAUAUGGAAGUAUGUUUUGAAUCUAAGAUUGCCAGUUAAGUCAUAUUGGUGCACAAGAACCCAUGCCACUUGUGCUGGGCUGGAAAGUUCUAUGAUUUAAGCUUCAAGCAGUCGAUAGAGUACAAAAUGAUUGCAUAUGCUUAGAUAUAUAUAUGACCCCAUAUUUAUGUACAUACAUGUUAACAUGUAUAUGUUAUGUGAUUGUAAAUGUGUUUGUAUGUGCAUACAUAAAUACUUUAAAUGCAUAAAGAUAAUGGUAAUAUUUGACACAAAAAUUUGCACAUACGAUGACAGGGAACGCUCUAAAUUCUUGCUAAGCAGUGUUUUAUAGUAGACUACUGGUCGACUGCUAGUUAAGUAGUUCAUCGCUACCAAUGAUCAAUUGAUUCAAUUCAUUGUAAAAUCUUGAAGUUCAAUAUUCUCUGCAGGAAAUAGUGGAACAGCUAACCCCACUCACCAUUUUGCACUUUGGAGGAAGCAUAUUAACUAGAAUUUCACAGCUGUUUGCUAAAUACGUGGGUGUUCUAAUUAAAGCCUUACCUGGCCCCUCUGAAGAUGAUAAUCUUACAGAGCUGAAAGAGGACAUACCCUUCAGGGCUGAAACAGAUGCACAACAGCUUGCACUUUUGGGAAUAGCAUUUACUGUGGCAGAGCUAUUACCGAUGGCUAUAUGGAGAACACAGAAUGAAUGCAAGGAACCAGGUAGUGGACCCACUGAAAACAUUGUGCAUACUGCAAGUGCCAUGGAAUCUAAGGAAUGGAGGCGCCAUAUUCAGCAUUCAUUGGAUGAGCUUAGAGAUCACUUCUGUCGACAAUAUGUUUUGAAUUUUAUCUAUUCAAGGGAAGGGAAAACACAAUUGAAUGCACAAAUUUAUUUAAAUGGGAAAGGAGAUGACCUGAGUUGGGACUCUGGCCCACUGCCUUCACUGCCUUUCCAGGUUGUCCCUUUUCUGUAAUUGCUGAAGUGUUAUUCUGGGGUCUGUAGAUGCCAUAUUUGGAUGUGUUCUCAUUUAUUAAUCUUGUUUCUGUUUAAUCCUUAUUGUUAUUUUCAUUUAAGGGCUCUUCGUUUUUUAAAGGAAUCAUCUUAUUAUCAAGAAAAUACUCCUUUAAUUUUAGGAUAUAUUCCCUGUAUUAUAUAUGUGACAUUUUCAUACAUCUCCAUUAUUUCUUUUAAUGAAUAUAAUGUUAUGUAAUAUUUGUUUAUGUCAGCAUAUAGUUGUGUGAAUAUGGUGAUUUGUUGGGCUGCUUGGAGCUAGUGUGUUGGCUUAUUGCAUAUAAGAUAUUGCAUAAUAUGCAUUUUAAUGUGUUCUUUCAUUCUAGUGUAGACUCGUAGAAAAAAUGCUGCUUGAUACUGGAUUUCACUUAAACUUGUUUUUCACUUAAAAUAUACAUUGCAACAUAUUUUGUGAAGGUCCAUGCUCACAGAUUUUGUUUUAUUUUGGAGGCAUGAUUUCCUUUUUCAAGCCCAGGGAUACUGGCAUCUGAUCCUAUCUAUAUGAUUGUUGCCAGGUUUCCUGUGUUCUGCCGAGCAGCAUCAAUAUAGUUUCUUAUGAAUUUUCUUUUCAGGUACUCAUAAUGAGAUUCUGUGCUAUGACUGCAGAUGUUAUUUGUGAAGCUGCAGCAGUUAGCAACUGUGGCUGGAGAUGUAUUACUUGGAAAGGAGAAAAUACAGAAAAUUUUGCUUGCCAGGCUAACAGAGACAGUGGUAAUAUGGUUGUCUGAUGAACAGGAAUUCUGGGGUGUAUUUGAGGAUGAGUCAGCUCCCCUUCGGCCAAUCGGGUUGCGGCAGGUAAUUGUACCCUUCUAGGCCUUUCUUAAAAUCCUUCUUUAUGAUAUGAAACUCUGGAACAUCUGAUGUCUGUGUUGGUUAUCCAUUCUUUUACGCCCUAUACAUAGUUUUCCUUCUUUCAUUUGUUUAAUAUCAGUCAAAAACUCGAUUAUCUUUCCCUCUACCAGGGAAGGUUGUGAUAAUACAGACUCUUGAUGGAUCUCAUGGGGGAUGUUUAGGAUCAAUUAUUGGACUAUAUAGAGAAUUACAAGAUUUUAAGAAAUGAAUAUAUAUAUAUAUAUAUAUAUAUUGUUGAUUAUUUAACUGGGGCACUUGUAAAACUAGCCAAAAUUUUACAGUAUCUUUCUUUUUUUCAUUUUACACUUGACCCAUCCAUGUCAAUGAUUAACCAAAAUGUCAGAAUCAAACUAUUUCUAUUUUAAAAAAGGAAUACACCUAUUACGAAAAAAUUAUAACAACAGGUGUCAUACUAUUAAUAUAUAUAUGAUAAUCAUAUAUACCGUCUUUAUGGAAUUCUUUCUUCCAAGUUUUGCAGUUGUGACCAUAUUUUUUCUUCUAGGAUUUCACAAUGGUGUCUAUAUCUUAGUAAAAGCAUCCUGAUUAGCACAAGUGGUAUGUUACAUUUGUUUAGGAUCUUCAUCUUGUUGCAUAUGUUAAAAUGGUCAUCCUGCUGUUGGUUGUCUUGGCAGUUGAUUCUUGAUAUGCACUUCACCGUUGAAAUUGCACGUUUUGCUGGUUACUCAUCACGACAUGUGCACCAGAUUGCAGCAGCCAUAAUUGCUCGUGCCAUUAGGACCUUCUCUGCUAGAGGCAUAGACCCACAAAGGUACCACCCCUUCAUUUUCUGAAAGUUCUUACAUUCUCACCUGCAACUAAAACUGUUAUGUUUCUCCUCAGUGCACUCCCUGAGGAUGAAUGGUUUGUGGAAACUGCCAAAGGAGCAAUACACAAGCUUAUGUCAGACGCUUCAGACACUGAUGAUGAACACAUCAUUGAUGAACACCUCAUUGACGAACACAUGAUUAUGCAUGAUGAGAUGGCCUCUGAUUCUGAUGACAGUCCGUCUUCCCUUUCAUCAGUAGAAAGUUCCGAGUCGUUUGCUUCUGCAAACAUGGGUGACUUAGAAAGCCCCACUGACUUGACUGAUCCUGAGAACUGAAACUCUACAGCUAAAUUCAUCUUUUCAGGACUCAAGUUUCUUCAGAUGCUCAUUCAUUUAGCAUUGUAGGAAGUUUAUUUACAGAUUUUGUAGUUAGAGAUGAGGUAGUAGAUCAUAUUUAAAUGUAAACUGUUGUAUAAGAGCAAGUCUAGGCAGCUGUUGUGGAUCUUUCUUGUGAUCAUAAAUUUGUCUUUGGAUAGAAGUAGAAGUUCCAUCUUCUCUUUUCCUUUCACUCCCAUCUCGAUCUUUCCUAUAUGACAGUAUUUUCAGCAUUCACUCUGGUCCUCUGUUAUCCCUUCCACAGUUUCAAUCUAACUCAUGGGGUUUUGGCCUUUCUAGGUAGAAUAGCUAGUUUUGUAAGGAUUUUAAUUAGAAAAUGCUGAACGUUUAAUGAGCUCUAGACAUGCAGUAUCAAUAAGCCCUCUAGGGGGUAACUCAGUGAUAGUGUGCUUUGACUACAGUUCUGAGUUUGAGCUUCCCUGGUAUUUAGGUGAUCCAGGUUAAAGGGGUAGGUUUUUUGUUUAUUUAGGGUCGAUCUAUAUACAUCAGAAAAUGUUAUGGUGCCGUAGUGGUACCUAUUGAAGUCUAGAUUUAGAUCGUUAGAUAUGUAUAUUGAGAUCUAGGUUGUUUAAUGAGAAUAAAAUUAAAUGAGACCAAGAUAUAAAGGUACAAACAAAUAUAAUUAGGGUACAAAUAAUGGGACUUAAAAAUGCAUAUAUGGCACAUCUGAUUGAUGGUGUCUUUUUAAUAUGCUAUCGAAAAGAAAUGAGACACCCAGCCCCUGCUCCUCUCUUUCCUUCAGAAUCUCCGAUCUUGGAAAUUUGCAUUCAUUGAAAGAGUCCUCUUUGGCCUUCGUUUGAGGAAGCAGGUAAUUCGCCUACGAUGUCUUCACAUGAUAGGUUGCAAAAAUCCUUAUUAGAAAGAAGACUUAGGUGGUGUUUGUUUUUUUACUUAAUUCUAAAUAGAAUCUUAUUACUUAAUAGUGUUAAAUAUUAGGUUAUUUGUUUUUGGAUUAUUUUAUUUCUAUUAAGUAUUAAAAAGUAAAGAAAAACCAAUAUGUUAUUUUUUCUAUUUAGAAAAAGCUACAUAUUUUAGCUUUUUCUAUUUAGUAAUAAAUUUAUAAUAAGUCAUGAAAAAGUAGAAAAACAAAUAACCUAAAUUCUGAAAACAAAUUAUUUUUAGCAAAAAACCAAAAAAACAAACACCUUUUUAGACAUCCUCGGGUGAAGUAGCUAGCAAGGCCAGGCACCUAAUGCAUGUGAGGGUAAGAGAAGGAAGUCUCUUUGGCACGUAUGAGUGCAUUUCUUUCGAAAAAAUCAUCAUUCAGUGCCAUAGAUGGACCUUUAAACUUGAGUCAUUUAAACUUUUUGGUGAUUUUGACCAAACAGAGUGUAUUUUUAGGAUGAGUAAGAGCAGAAACUAAGCAUGCUUAAAAGAAUACUUAUAUUAUGGAAUGUAUAUGAUUUUGUAUAGAGGGGCAUAUUGCCAUAUGGGGACCUGUUCAAUUGGGGACAGAUUCCCCUGCUUCACAUGCCUUAAUUCUCCUCUCAGAAAUACAGUCAAACACUGUUGGAUCAUCCUCAUUGCCCCAACCCCAGUUGGGCUCAAACUUGAAAUCCUUUGCAAAAUAACUAUAAUUUUUCAUAAGAGAACUUUUGGGUCUUUGUGUAGGCCAAAGGUAGCCCAUAUGCAUUCUUCUUUUGCAGAUUCCAACUCUUGAAAUAAGGUGUGUGGACACAAUCCUGAAAAGUUGAAAGAUACAAGUGUUGGAAAAGGCCAAGUAUAAGAGCUUGUUCUUUAGUCAUGAUUUAGAAUGUUGGUUCAAACGAUUAUUAAAAUAUAAAUUUGGGAUUCAUUUUUAAAACAAUGGUUGGAAAUGACCCCUUUCUUCCGCAUCCUUCAUCUUUUCAAUUUUUUUUUUCAAAAAAAAAUAUGUUAAAUUAUAUUUUGAAAUAAAAACAUGUUAAUAGAAAAAAUGAAAAUUAUUUUUAAAAAAUUUCUUUCUCAAAAUGUACUUUCAGCUUAAUUUAAAAUAAUAAUAAUAAUAAUGACAUCAAAAAGAUUGUUUUAAUAAUAAGUUUAAAAGCAUAACUAUAUAUUGUACUAAUAAAAAAUUAAUUUUAUAAUUAGGAAAAUUAUCCUUUCCAUGAAAAUAUUGUUAUAUUUAAAAAUUGUAAUUCAUCAGAAGUUCAUAACUAAGACAGUAGGCCCCAAAAAAGGAGAUGAAAAAAAAGGAAAAAAGAGAGGAAAAUACACAAUAGGAUAUUUUUUAAAAAUUAAAUAAAAAUAAUUAUAAAAUGAAAAAGCGCGGGAAAUGGACGGUUAUGAUAUAUAACUAUAUAAAAGAGAAGUGCGACUGAUGUGAAGCGUGGGAAUUGAGAUUUUCUAGGGUUUUGAAAUUGCUAGAAAUGGAUGCAAUCGAAGAGAGAGUUGCGGAGAAGGAAAGCGGUGGAUGCAUCGAUCUGUGCCUUGGCGAAGCAGUAGUGGAUCUGACUGGCCACAUUCAUCAGCUCCCAUGCUGCAUCAAGUACAACGGACCUUGUUCUGUUUCUCACUAUUUCAAACCUAAACAUACCGGUGAACUUUCCUCUCCCUUUCUUUCACUUUCUUUCACGUUUGUUAGCUGGGUCUCUUUUUUCGUGGUUUAGGGGUUUGCUGAUUUUUGACUUUUUUGUUUUUUACACAAUAGGGAUAGAGGUUGAGGGUUUGAAGGUGGAGGAGGCCUUCUUUAGGGGAAGAAAGUUGCAGGGAACCACUAUUCACCUUCCGGAGGGCUAUUCUGGUAUGUGAUUUCUGGGAAGUUUUUGUUUUUGUUUUUUCUUUUGCUCUGAUGUUCUGUUGGGUUCUAAGAAGAUGGAGGAAAACAAAGGGAAGUGAAGUUUUGAAUUGUGGAUUUUUUUUUUCAUUGUUUUGGACUCGAGGAGACAAGAGCGUAGAAGAAACCAAUCUCAGAACGGAAGCCCUUUUGAUUGUACCGGGAAUAUUGAGUGAGUGAAAUUGUUACUUGAGAUCCAAAGCCAGUUCAUGAUUUAGUAUCUGGCGGUCAAGAGUUAGAAAUGAUUGAUGGUUUGCACAUUGUGCAAGGAACAUGAUACAUUGGGGCACGGAUUUGGACAAUUCACAAUGUACUUAGGUUUUAUUUCGUUUCCUUAUUUGAAGAGCCCUAGUGCAAAUCAUAUUCGUAGUUGGAUGGGAAUGGAUUGCUCUCCCUUUUUGUUAGACACUUUCUUUAAUAAAUUUUUUGUUUAACUAUCAAUAUAAAAUGAAUGGGAAAUUGGCCACUAGAAUAGUGAUAUAAAAGAAUGAAUAAAAUGAACAAUGUAUAGGACAAGAGGUAGAGAUAUAUGGGAAGACUUUUAAAUUCAAGAGAUGUAUGAUUGAACUGAAUCAGUCAUCUGGGUAAAUGAUACCUUUAAUUCAUAAUGCGGGGUGAAAUUGAACUGUACACCUAUUUAUGUAAAAUUUCAAAACAUUUGUAGAAGGCCCUUAACGUUUGAGUUUAGGUCAUCUUAGAAGGUUCAUAUAACUAACUCCUGAUUAUAACUUUGCAGGCUUUGUCCUAGGAAAAAAGAGUUCCAACACGACAAAAUCUACUGGCACAUCUGAAGGAAACAUGAACAGAUGGGAAACAAAUGCAAAAUUUCAGGCGAUAACAUUUUGGAAUCAUGACAAUCUUCCUUCACAAGAUGAUUCUUAUGUGCGGUCAUUUCACUGGUUGGCUGUUUCCAAAGCAGUAAGUUUCUGUGUGAUACCUUUGAGUUAUUCUACUUGGUACAGCCAUGAUGGCUUUGUGUCUUUGCAUUCUUUGAUCUGACAUACAUAUAUGAAUUGACCUAUAAAAAAAAGGGACAUAUAUGAAUUAAUGUUUUUUGUAAGUCAAGCAUUUCUUCAUUUCUUAUGCACAAAACUCUUGUUCCAACAUAUUAGCAAGUCUUUCACCGAAAGUGGAAGAACCCAUCAAAUGCUAAAUGAAGAGAACAAGAAGUGUCAUAGCUCCUUAGCUUCCCCACAAUGGAUAAGGAGAUGGUCUACUAAUUCUUUUGUGCUUUUACACAUACGGCAAUGACUUGCCAAGAACCAGCCUCUUCUGUUAAUUUGGUUAAGGGUUAGAAUCUUUCCCCAAGCCGCUUUCCAUGUGAGGAAAUUCACCUUAAUAAGAGCCAAGAGCCCCACAUUAUUUUUUAGGGGAAAGACACUUCUCCCUCUAACUCAAGGGUAGAGUAGAAGGACUUAAUCGAGAAUACCCCACUUUUGAUAGCCUUCUCCAAUACUCCUUCCUGACACAUAUGGCUUCCAAGGCAACUCUUCAACAUUUUCCACCUCUCAAUCUUGGAAAUGUCUCAAGAAGCAUGAGUUUCACAAGAUCAACCGGUAAAGCCACCAAUGUCUCUUUAGAAGCUGUAAAGUAGAAUAGAGAUGUAAUAGAAUCUUUCAAAGGAACAUCACCACACUAUACAUCUUGCCAAAAUUCUAUUCUUCUCCCAUUGCCCACCUCAAAUCUUAUCCUAGCCUUGUAAACUUUACAUCAUUAUCUUAUUGACUUCCAUAAGCCAACACCAUGACCUUUCCUUCCUACUUGAGAGAACCACCCACUUGGCUUCUCUCUAUUCUUGUGUACUAUGACCUUUCUCCAAGGCAUCUCCCUCUUUAGAGCGAAUCUCCAACACUAUUUUCCCAACAAGGCUUCAUUAAGAGUGGGUAGGUCCUUGAUGCCAAAGCCUCUUUCUUUUUAUCUCUAUAGAUUAACAAUCAUUUUACUAGAUGAGGUUUCUUCUUAAGAGCUCCUUUUCCUUAUAGGAAUCCCUCUAAAUUUUCACCAGUCUCAAAGCCAUCAAUUUAGGAAUAAUAGAAAGGAACAUGAAAUAAAUUGGUAGGCUGCCAAAAGUGCUGUCUAGUAAAAUGAGUCUCCCACCUUUUGAGAGUUAUUGCCUCUUUCACAUUGUUAGUCUUUUGGAAAACCUCUUUCAUCAACAAAUAAGAGGUGCAAAAUAUCCCCUCCUUCACCACCUCCCCUUGCUAUCUUAAAACUUGAAAUGAAGCUACCUUCCCUACUCUUUCUCAAGAGAAUACUAACAACCUCUAUCACCAACACCAAUAAGUGAGAGGAUAGGGGGUCCCAUUGCCUUUUGUGCUCCAAGCUCAAUGAAACUUCAUUCACUAAGAAUGAGAAUCUCGCCAUUGAAAUGCAAAAUUGAAUCUAAUCAAUCCAUUUUUAUUCAAAUCCCACUACAUUACAUUACUCUUAAGAGGAAGCUCCAACAUGGUCAUAGGCUUUUUCAAUGUUUAAUAGACUACUCCCUCUCUAUGACUCCUCGACCCUGAAUCUAUAGCUUUAUUGGUGAUUAAGACCGUUUCUAGAAUUUGUCUCCCUUCUACAAACACAUUGUAAGACUUCAACACCAUUUUCCUAUCGUUUUCUUUAGUCUAUUUUCCAAAACUUAGGCUAGAAUCUUGUACAAAUUACCCACAAGGCUAACAAGUCUAAAUUCCUUUAAAUCUUUGGCUUCACCUUUUUUUGGAUCAAAACAAAAAUUAGUGCUUGGACUUUUUUCAAAGGUACACCUCACAAAAAAAAAUAAAAAUAAAAUCCCUUAAUAGGCCUAAGACCUCCUCAUUAACAAAAUCCUAACAAUGUUGCCAAAAUGCCAAAGAAAGAACAUUUGAUAUCGGGGCUUUGGCAUUGUUCAACUCUAAGAGUGUCAUGAAUCUCCUCGGUGAAUGCCUCUUCCAACCUAUUAGAGUAUUAUUGCUCAACAUCUUGAAAGACAUGUCAUCUAUAUUUCCAACAAAAGAAGUUGAAAAUAAUUCACAACCCUUUCUAAACUCUCAGCUUCCUUUGUCACCCACUCACCAUUUUCCCUGAUUCUCACUAUGAAAUUUCUUAAAUGCCUGGCAUUAGCCAUCUUGUAAAAAAUACAUAGUAUUUUUGUCACCUUCCUUUAGCCUCACAUUCCUUGAUUUUGGUCUUUAAGAGAUUUCCUCUAGAAUGGCUCAAAGAUUGAACUCUUCUAAUGCUACAAUUCAAACUUCCCUAUCUUCCAAGGGAAACAAUCCUUCCCCCUCCUUUUUGUCCGAUAGCUAAUCUAAUCCAAGGAACAAGCUUCGCGGGUUGCUACAUUCCUAGAAGGCUCCUUCAUUCCAAGCUUUUAAUGCUUUUGCCUUUGAAGCUACAAUGAAGCUACAGGAUCCACUAAAUUGAUACCCUUCCUAUCACCCUUAACCAUAUCUUUGAAUCCCUCGACCUUAAGCCACAUGUUUUCAAAUCUGAAAGGGGUCCUUCCUCUUCUUACCCUUCUUCCCUCUAAUAAGAUAGUAGAAUGAUCAGACACAGGUUGUGGUAACAGGAAUUGCGAUGCAUUUGUGAAGCCAUCCUCCUAGUCUUAUUAGGAAGUGGUUAAUCCUUGACAUCGAUUACUUAUUCAGACCUUCACACCAUGUGAAAAAGCCCCUUCUCAAGGGAAGAUCAACUAGGGAUAACUCCUCCAUGAUGUUAGAGAAUUGUCUCAUGGAUUGGGAGAUUUUAUCACAAUUCUUUCUUUCCUUUGGGAAUCUGACCGGAUUAAAAUCAACCCUAAUACACCAAGGAUCUUUCUAUAGCUCUUUAAUGGCCCCCAGCUCCUCCUAGAAAUCUUCAAGAUCUCUCCAGCCCUAGGCCAUAAAUCUCAAAAAAUACUUAAGUGAAACUGUCCUCACAACAUCUGAAUCGACAAGAGACUAAAUAAGAGCCUAUCUCCAUCUUAAGCAUCUCUAAGACUCUAUUCUUUGAGAAAACCACUGCCCCUUCAGUUGCUCCCAUUGCCUCUAGGGCACCCUACUCGGGGAAUCUGCCCACCCUUAAGCUUCUGACCUAAGCUAAUGACAUAGCCUUUGUUUCCUGUACGCACAUCAAGUCUACAUUACGAGAAUGAAUCAUAGAUUUAAUAAACUUCCUCUUCUCCUUACUGUUAACCCUUCUGACAUUUCAAGAUAUGAUCCUUAGCUUCAUAGAGAAACCAUUGAUAAAUCCCAACCCCUCUUGUCUACCCUUUUUAACCUCCUCACUGAAGACUCAGUUCACAGAGCAUUCCAAUUUUUUCAACUCCCUUUCUCUACGUGAUAAAUUAUAGCCUUGUGACCUUUUAUACAGAUUGAAGCUUUCAUUUUUUGUCUAGUUUCCACUUUUAUCAGCAAAGCUGAAAUCUCCUUCUCAGAAACAUUGAUCAGCUUCCUUGAAAACUUACUGAAGGCUGCAAAUUUUUCAACAACCUGAGUGGGCUUCCUUCUGCGAAUCUAAAGCCCCUUCUAUUGAAAUGCUAGAAUUGUGAGAUAUUAAAGAGAUUGCAACCAAGGAUGAAGAAUCGUUUCUCAUCACAUUUUCCAAGAACUCUAUUAACCUUCCAUCUUUCAUAAUCAUUCUCAAAGGCUUUUCUCCAUCCAUCAACCCACCCUUAAACCUGCUGCUUCAUUUCGACGACUUGUUCCGCCAUAACAACAGAAUGAGCCAACAGCAAAAGAGAAGGAGAGGAAGCACUUAACCCUAUAAGAAAAGAGAUAGGAUAGGACUCACUUAGGUUGAGGGCUUCAACAAGAGUGGACACUGCAACACGGAGGAAGUUUGGGAUUAUUUGAUAUUUCAAUUUUUCUAGUUCUUAUUGGUUAAGUAUUGAAAACCUGUUUUUAUGGAGACUGCAUAAUCAGGUGGAAGUUCAGAAUCCUAUCUGGGCAGUUAUGCUUGGUAGAAACCGUGUUCAUGUGGUUUCAAUUAUUUCCAUAGAAGUAAGGUGUUAUGGGAGACUUUUUACACUAGCUUUCUGAUAGGUCUUGUUAACCAAACACAAGUUCAGCAAUCGAGGCCCGAUUUAUGUUUGGCUAGCUGAAACUUCUAAUUUGCCAAAGUCCAAUCUUCCUCUAAGGAUCCAUAGAUAAAUUGGCACCUAGGAAACUUGAGUUCCCAAACUCAGCGAAAAUGUUUCUUGUCUACAUGUACAGGGGGCAGUCUCUAUUGGAAUCAUAAGUUCAUAAACCGUGACUUUAUCAUCUAUCUGUUUUCUCUUUCCUAUCUGACAAACUAGUGCAUAAUAUGAAGAAACAUUAGUUGACAUCUAUUCUGUUAUGGGCAUUUCUCCCUCUCUCCUAAUUCAAUAAAUUUAUGUUCGUCUAUGAAUGCAGCUGCAUAAGCCAGCGAUGGCUGAAGAUUUGAGGGUUGCAUCUCUUGCCCUGGAGCAAGAGUUGUGUACAUCAGAAAAGUGAGGAGCAUAAUCUUCCACAUUUCCAGUGUACUUUCCAUGCCUAAGUAACUGUUUUUGUAAUCAUAGUGUAGUCAAAUUUGAAAUUGUAUUAAUACUUUUCAUUUGAGCUUCAAACCUGAAAAGGGAUUCUUAAUUAUCAUACAAUGUGAAGUUCAUUCCAGUAGUGGUGUAUAGUGUGACUAUGUCAUGUUAUCAUUAACAUGUUAUCGUGAUUGCGAGAAUUUCUUUUGUGACAUGUUAUCAUUAAAUUUUUCCUUCUAGAUCUCUUAGGUGGGAGCUGUCAGAUGAUGGAUUCUGAUUUUCUGCUUUUAAGUUCACCUAACCGAUAUCAGAGUGCUUCAAGAUCUAAAAUCUCAUUCUGGAUUCAAAAUGUUUUCAUGAAAAGAAUGAAUUAAACCUAUUUAUCCACACUUUCAAUAAUAACAACCUAGAAUCCUAGAUAGCUUAUAUAGAAUCCAUCUUGUAUUACCUUCUCAAGACAAGAUUUUAGAUGGCAGAGACAGUUCUUUCAGGCAGUGAUCAGUGCUUGUAAGCCAUUAGUACAUGGGCUAAACUUGAUGGGCUUCCACUAUGAUUGGCUCUUUUAAGGUGCAGACUAAUCUUGAAAUCUUGACUUUCCAUCUCAUGCAUUGAAGGUUAGGAACAAGCAUCCAAUUGUAUUCGUGCCCCAGUAAAACCUGAAAGGUAUGCCUUCAAUCCUUGCAAUCUAUCUCAUACAUGAUAUUUUGUGAAAGGAACAAGCAUGAAUUGUAUUGUUAUCCCUAUAAAACAUGAAAGGCGUGUUUUGCUCCAGAACCCUCUUCUACUAGUAAUGCUCUUGUAAUUAAGACCUGAAUAAGAUUACUUAGCCAGAAUCUUUGGCCGACUUUGGUCCAUUCAACUCAACAAUGUUGGUGACAAUGAAUAGGGUAUUGAUUAAGUUUUUCAGGUCAUAGUUCUAGAGAACGCAUGAUAGUGAGUGUGUCACCCUUCAGGAUUAGCUUGAUUAUUUUAACAUUUAAUAUUGCUUAAUUUCAUGUUUGCUUUUCAGAGGAAUACAUGAACAGAUUUUGCAAGGCUCUGAACAUAGAUACCUGCAGUUUGUUUCAAGAGACUGCAACAUUGAGUUAAAGGCAUGAAACAGGUUGAUAUUCGAAUGGCACCCCUGGAAUUAGGAAAACUCUUAACUCUUGUAAUGAAUCCAUUGAGUGCCACAUUUUAAUAUCUGAACUUGUGAAAUAUUAGGUUUUAGAAUAAAUUCAAUGCUGAUGCCAUAGGAUUGCCCUAAGCAUCUGAUGUUUAUACCUUGUCUAGGCAUGAAGGAUUUAGUGUGUGAACCAGCGGAGAUUUUGAAAAAAUUGAAGAGCACCAACAAGGUAAAAACAUGCCUUUGAGGCUAGGCUCAAGUGGUAAAGGGACAUAAAGUGUUUCGGGGAGGUUCCAAGUUCAAUUCCCAAUGGGAACCAAAAAUUUACCUAUAAAAAAAAAGGUAAAAACAUUUGAAUAUACUUGGUGGAAUUUCUGUAGCCAUGAACAUUUAUGUCUUGUCUAGCCAUGAUUCUGCAGUUUCUGUAUUUAUCUUCUUUCAACUUCUUUAAUUCAUAAACUUGUGGAUAUAAUAUUUCUUAUAGUGAUUUUUUUUCCCAUUAAACAACUGAAGAAAAAUAUGUGACCAUGAAAAAUGAAAGGAAUCUAAAACGCUGGAGAUUUGGCUAAAAACGAUGGGAAGAAUCGAAUGUUGAAAAGCUCUGCAGCCCACAGGGUGGUUUCACAUUAGAGGAAAACCUUUAUUCUUCCCUUGCGAAUCAAGAAUCUAUCAAGUACAUAUCGGCUCAGAAUUAUCCCUUAGCAACUUUCCAUGAUAAUAUGGAAUAUUUGUUUGAAAGUCGUCAUGUAAAAAGGAUUGGUGGAGAUUUUUACCUGUUUCAAUGUUUUUUUUCAUGCCGUGAACCUUGUCAAGCAUAUUAAUUAUACGUCUUGAAAUCAUUGAAAACAGGGUGUGUCUCAAUUCUCAAAUGAAGUUAAAGAGAAAAUCCUGAAAAAUUAGACAUAAAGUGUAUUCAUUUAACAAAACAUGGAUCAAAAUGAGAAAGUAGUUUGAUGGGUGGGUUUCUUUUUGGAGUUGUCAAUAACAAGGAAGGAACAACAGAUAAUUUCAUAAUUGAUGUGUGAAAACUCUUUAAAGAAAAGCUAAUUUAAAAAUAAAGUAACGUUAAGAAGUUUAAAAACAUUUGGUAUGGAAAAAGGAUAGAUGCUUUUACGUGAUAGAGCGGAAGACCAAUUUAUCGUGGCUUGCCUUUUAUAACAAUUCUGCCAAUAUUCUCUUUUACAAAGUGGGGCUUAGACAUGGCUCAGACCCAUCCAUGCAUCAAAGAAAAGUCAAUAGCAUUUAGUUUUGAUUCUUUGGUAUUUAUGCGUUCUGGUUUCUCCUCUUUUUCUUUUCUUUUCUUGUGGAAUGCAACUGGGUUUUUAUUCCUCAAGAUGGGCAGUCAUGAACCCAAAAAAAUUGUCUUCCCUUUUAGCCUUUGGAGAUGCUAUAUAUAUAUAUAUACACACAUAUGUAUAGAAGACCCAAAUCAUAACCAAAUAACAUCAUUCCAUCGGUUAACAAACUCCAUUUUUUGCUUCCUCGAUGUCUUCGACAACUCCUCAUCACGAUGCAGAAGAACCCCCCCAGUUGCAGGUAGUAUAUUUGUUUUCCCAGGUUUCUCAAAGUUCAUCUCUCUCUCUCUUAUGCUUUACCAUCCUGUUCUCUCACUUGUACAGUCGAAGGAUGGCAAGUUGAUGGCUACGUUUAAUCCCAGACAGCUGAACGUUAUCUGGGGCAGAGACCCCCGCUACUGGAAGAUGCCAGAAAAGUGAGGGUCCUUUUGUCUAUUCUUUGAGUUAUUUUUAUUUCUGAUUAGGGUCGAACUAUGGUUUUGAAAAGAAAGUAUGUUAGUGUCACUAAUUUAAGGACCACUAUAGGCUGAGACUCAGAAAGAAGCAAUAAGACUCUGUGGGUUAGGUUGAUGCUCAUCUUUUGAAAUUGAUUGGUGGGGUAGGUAAGAGGGAGGAGGGUUAUAUGAUUAUAUCUUACCCCCUAGGGCUUACCCACUAUUCUUUCCUUUUAGCUCCUCAAAAGGGUUUCUCUGCUUGAAUAAUAUCAGUUUUGGAGUGGAAGCCCUGAUCCAAAGUUGACUUGUGAAUUCAAAAGUCCAAAACUGGAUUGUUUUUUUUUUUUUUUUUUUGUGAAAAAGGGACUUUGUGGGUUUUCCUACUUUUCCCAACAGAUAUCAGUUAAUCGUAGAAUUUGCAAGAGAUAUGGCAAGUCACACAACCUAAACAUCUACCCACCAUUUGCAGGAACAGCGGCGGUCCUGCAGAACUAUUGCAGGUAUGCUGGCUUGAAGUGAGCGGCAGUGUCCCCAUACGCAGCGCACCAAUUGGAACCAAGUUCAAAAUUACCUUCCAAGUAUCCUUCAAAUCCGAUGCAUUUGGAUGGAAUAACUGUCCCGUUUAUGUGAUGGCUAAGUUUGGGAAGAAAGGAAAGUACACGUGGACGAAAAUAUCGCUGCGUACUGACAAUUCACAGCCAACCAAUAUCCUCCCACCUGACGGCCUGGAGAUUGUAACCAAAGAGGCUACAACCGCAAAUGUAAAUGAUACCAUUUACUUUGGCCUAUAUGAAGUAUGGAGUGGGAAGUGGAAGGGAGGAUUAGAACUUCAUAAUGCCAUGGUUGAACAAAUCAAUAAUAAAUAGUAAUGCGCGGCAGUGCCCAGAAAACAUUAAUAUGUGUUUGUGUGUGGGUCUGUGUGCAGCUUGCAGCUUGCACAUUCAAGAGUAUGGCUUAUAUCAUAGGUAUUAAGGAUGCUGAAUAAAAGGGUAAAAAUGCUGCUACUCAUUCGAAUUCUCAUUUGCUGAAAUCAUUGCCACCACAACCAGUUUUUCUUAUAUGUGGCUUCUUCUAGGAAUGAUUUCAUCUUUUGGGUAUUUGGACUGCAGAGCACUUUUCAUAAAUAAAAGUAUAAAACAAGUUGCUGGUUACUCUCUGCCUCUGGAAUAUUGUUGUAUUAUGUAUUAUGUAUUAAAUCAUUAAGCUAAUAAAGUUUACUUUCUUAGGUUUCCAUAUCAUACUUCACUUUGCUUUUGCCUCUUCUUUCCUUCAAAAUUUAUUAACUGCUCAAUACAGAUCCGAAUUCCUCCUCUGUCUCUUAGGUCUUGUUUGAGAUAGCUUCUUGCUUCUCUGGUUAAAAGCAGUACACUGAGGCCAAUGUCACAAAUUUUAAAAUACAAUAUUAAAAUUGUAAAAGUUUUAUUAAUCAUGAAACAACUUCUUAUCACAAUGAUAUUUAAGUUGUGAAAAUAGAGUCUGUUAAACUUACAAAGAAAAUAAUAAUAAUAAUAAAGCCCCUUUGGCUUCUAAGAGAUCGAUCCAAAAAAUGCCUACUUGAAGAAGAAAUAAAAAGGGAUCUAAGAAGAAAUAAAAAUUGUAGCCAUGAUUCUAUAGAUUUUGAUCCAUUAAUAUUUAGUUUGAGUGUUUUAGAAUUUUGGUCAAUUAAUUUAGUUAAUCACAUGUUAUUGUUUUCGUGUUUUAAGUUUAGUAAUUUUAUUUUUGAUCUAUUAAUAUUUAGUUUGAGCUUUUUGGAAGCUAAUCAACAUAGUUAAUUACAUAUUAUUGUUUUCAUAUUUUCAAGUUUGUUAAACUUUGGUUUUUGAUUCAUCAUAUUUUGUCAUAGUGUUAAUUUACUUUAAUUGAUCCCAUGCUAUUAUCUCUAUAUGUUAAGAUUGUUAAUUUUGAUUCUUCAUUGGUUUUUUUUUUUUAUCUUAAUUCAUGCGCUUCUUGAAUUCUAGAUGUUAGCUUUGGAUAAUAUUUUGUUAGCUUGUUUGAUUUGGAAGUCAUUAGUUUGCUGCCUUAGUAAUUGUUAGUCCAAUCUCCUUUUUUUAGAGGCUAUUGGAAAAUCAUGAAAAUUGACCUCUACCCUCACCAUUAUCAUUUUUGUUGAUUACUAAAAAAAUUUACUUUGUGAUUUCGUUUUCUUUUGUUUCGUUUAGAAUUUUGUUUCUUAAGUUCCGUUGUUUUUUAAAUUAAUUUCUUUUAUUCUAAAGCAAAACAUUUUUCUCAAAAGAUCCCCUUGAAAAUCUAUUUAAAAAAAAAUUCAUUUAGAGUCCAUAGAAUUAAAAUCUCAUUUUUUUUAAAUAAUAUGCAACCAUCUCUUGAUUGGUUUGCAUAUUUCUCGGUUUUCAAUGAAAGUUAUGGUUUUGAGUAAGACACAAAUCCAGGCUUGUGGUUCCAAACAGAUGAGAUAAUUCUAGGCUAGAUUUGUGUAUAUUAAUUGGGGAAUUGGUGAAACCCCUACAUAAGAAAAUCUUUUCAAAAGUCAUCUUUGCUGCCACCUUUGCUACUUAUUGUGUUCAUAUUUACAUAUUUUUUUAGGGAUUGUAUAUAAGAUGUACGUGAUAAUUGAUGAUUUUGUAUACUUUGAUCAUUUUUGCUAUGAUAAUUAAAUAACAUGUUAGGAUUUCUGUAUUUUAUUAUUUAUUAUCUAACCUCUCAUGUCUUGCGGAAGCACAUUACAAAUUAUCUAUACUAUCUAGGUACGCCCUCUAUCACCCACUUUCUAAAUUCUGUGAAUAUGCUUGUCAUUGUGAAUUGCACUUAUGUUUGAUAAUGCUUGGAUGUCUUGAUAUUUGUUACAAUGUUCGAUCAUUUAUGAUAAAAUACAUGCUGGGUGAAAUACUAUUCAAACUAACCAUUAAUGUUCUGUGAUAGUGUUUGAGAAGCAUAUCAGGUACAUACCUUAAAUCUUCUUUAUGAUUGUGAUUGGUUUUUUUGUUAGGUAUGCUUUUUUUGAAAUCACCUAUCCUACUUAGAUAUCUAUAAUUAACCAAUUAGUUGUCACAUAUCUCUCGACUUAGUCACUAGAGAACUUUAUAGGGCUUAGAGGGGUGCUACCUCCUAGAGGUACUUUCCCAAUAAGUAACCUGAUCCCCAAACCUAGACUCGGGUUUUUCAAAGACACGUUUUUCCAAAAACUAUGAAGUCAUUUUUUAGGGUUUUAUUUCUUAUUUUAUUUUCCCUUUAAAAUAAAAUAAAAUAAGCGGCGACUCCGACUUUUCCAAAACUGAAAUUUUUCACCAAAAUAAAAGUUUAUACCUUGUCUAGGCAUGAAGGAUUUAGUGUGGGAACCAGCGGAGAUUUUGAACAAAUUGAAGAGCACGAACAAGGUAAAAACAUUUGAAUAUACUUGAUGGAAUUUCUGUAGCCAUGAUUCUGCAGAUUUUGUGUUUAUCUUCUUUCUAUUUGUUUAAUUCAUAAGCUUGUGGUUAUAAUAUUUCUUAUAGUGAUUUUUUUUUUCCCAUUAAAAAACUGAAGAAAAAUAUGUGACCAUGAAAAAUGAAAGGAAUCUUUGGGCUAAAAACAAUGGAAAGAAUCGAAUGUUGAAAAGCUGUGCAGCCCACAGGGUGGUUUAUUCUUCCCUUGCGAAUCAAGAAUCUAUCGCCUCAGAAUUAUCCCUUAGCAACUUUCCAUGAUGAUUUCAUGGAAUAUUUGUUUGAAAGUGUUCAUGUAAAAAGGAUUGGUGGAGAUUUUUUCCUGUUUCAAUUUCUUUCUUUUUCAUGCCGUGAACCUUAUCAGGCAUAUUUGAUUAUACAUCUUGAAAUCAUUGAAAAUAGGGUGUGUCUCAAUUCUCAAAUGAAGUCUGAAAAAUUAUAGACAUAAAGUGUAUUCAUUUAACAAAACAUGGAUGGGUUUCUUUUUGAAGUUGUCAAUAACAACAGAUAUAAUUUCAUAAUUGAUAUGUGAAAACUCUUUAAAGAAGGCUAAUUUAACGUUAACAAGUUUAAAAACAUUUGGUAGGGAAAAAGGAUGAAUGCUUUUACGUGAUAGAGCUCGUGGGUCGCCUCUUUUACUAAGUGGGGCUUAGACAUGGCUCAGACCCAUCCAUGCGAUAGCAUUUAGUUUUGAUUCUCUGGUUUCUCCUCUUUUUUCUUUUCUUUUGGAAUGCAACUGGAUUUUUAUUCCUCAAGAUGGGCAGUCAUGCAACUGGAUUUUUAUUCCCUUUUAGCCUUUGGAUAUGCUAUGUAUAAAUACACAUAUGUAUAGAAGACCCAAAUCAUAACCAAAUAACAUCAUUCCAUUGGCUUCAAGUUAACAAACUCCAUUUUGUGCUUCCUCGAUGUCUUCGACAACUACUAAUCACGAUGCAGAAGAACCCCCCCCAGUUGCAGGUAGUAUAUUUGUUUUCCCAGGCUUCUUAAAGUUCAUCUCUCUCUCUCAUGCGUUGCCAUCCUGCUCUCACUUGUACAGAGGAAGGAUGGCAAGAUGAAGGCUACGUUUAAUCCCAGACAGCUGAACGUUAGCUGGGGCAGAGACAGCCGCUACUGGAAGAUGCCAGGAAAGUGAGGGUCCUUUUGUCUAUUCUUUGAGUUAUUUUUAUUUCUGAUUAGGGUCGAACUAUGGUUUUGAAAACAAAGUAUGCUAGUGUCACUAAUUUAAGGACCACUAUAGGCUGAGACUCAGAAAGAAGCAAUAAGACUCUGUGGGUUUUAGACAUCGCUGCUUGUGUCUGGUUGAUGCUCAUUUUUGUAAUUGAUUGUUGGGGUAGGUAAGAGGGAGGAUUAUUUGAUUAUAUCUUACCCCCUAGGGCUUACCCACUUUUCUUUCCUUUUAGCUCCUCCAAAGGGUUUCUCUGCUUGAAUAAUAUCAGUUUUGGAGUCGAAGCCCUGAUCCAAAGUUGACUUGUGAAUUCAAAGUCUAAAACUGGAUUAUUAUUAUUAUUUUUUUUAAAAAAUAGGGCUUUGUGGGUUUUCCUAAUAUUUCCAACAGAUAUCAGUAUAAUCGUAGAAUUUGCAGGUGAUGUGGCAAGUCAACAUAAUCUAAACGUCUACCCACCAUUUGCAGGGGCAGCAACCGUCCUGCAGAACUAUUGCGGGUAUGCUGGCUUGAAGUGAGCGGUAGUGUCCCCAUAGGCAGCGUACCACCUGGAACCAAGUACAGAAUUACCUUCCAAAUAUCCUUGAAAUCCGAUGCAUUUGGAUGGAAUGACUGUCCCGUUUAUGUGAUGGCUAAGUUUGGGAAGGAAGGAAAGAACAGUUGGAAGAAAAUAUCGCUGCAAGCUCACUAUUCAGAGCCAACCAGUAUCCCCUCAACUGAGGGCCUAGAGAUUGAAACCGAAGAUGCAAAUGAUACCAUUUACUUUGGCCUAUAUGAUAUAUGGACUGGGCACUGGAAGGGAGGAUUACAACUUCAUAAUGCCACGGUUGAACAAAUCAAUAAUAUACGGUAAUGGGCGGCAGUACCCAGAAAACAUUAAUAUGUGUUUGUGCGUGUCUGUGUGCAGCUUGCACAUUCAAGAGUAUGGCUUAUAUCAUAGGUAUUAAGGAUGCUGCUACUCAUUCGAAUUCUCAUUUGCUGAAAUCAUUCCCAUCACAACCAGUUUUUCUCUUAUGUGUCUUCUUCUAGGAAUGAUUUCAUCUUUUGGGUAUUUCGAUUGCAGAGCACUUUUCAUAAAUAAAACAAGUUGCUGUUACUCUCUACCUCUGGAAUAUUGUUGUAUUAUGUAUUAUGUAUUAAAUCAUUAAGCUAAUAAAGUUUACUUUCUUGGGUUUCUAUACCGUACUUCACUUUGCUUUUGCCUCUUCUUUUCUUCAAAAUUUAUUAACUGCUCAACGCAGAUCCGAAUUCCUCCUCUGUCUCUUAGGUCUUGUUUGAGAUAG